This 57959-nucleotide long non-coding RNA is filed under the name Ananas comosus (pineapple). RNAcentral describes it as "long non-coding RNA (ACOM_LNC004185)". The stretch from base 53459 to 53568 matches the Rfam family "mir-166 microRNA precursor family". The record is from RNAcentral. Lineage: Eukaryota; Viridiplantae; Streptophyta; Magnoliopsida; Poales; Bromeliaceae.
UAUUUUUUAUUUUAUGGCAUGUUUGGUCCAUGAUUGAAGUGAGAAUGAGAAAUUUAAUUAUAUUGUUAUUAGAAUGGAAAUCGGAAUGGAUAAUUGAAAGACUUCAACUUUUGAUAGAAUGUUUUAGUUAAGAGGUAGAAAAGUGGUGAAAGGCGAGAGAUGGGGCCAAUUCAGAAUUCAAAGUCGGAUUGUGGUAUAAAUUUAUUGAAUCAUUUCUAUUCUAGAGUGGAAUGGAUAUAGGAAUAAAACAAACAACAACUAUCGAAAUCAGUAAAAUUCUGAUUUUAAAAUUUGAAAUAGGUGUACUAAAUAACCCCUUAAUUCAUUAUGUCAUUACUCUGUUACUAUCUAUACCUAUAUAUUAUUUUUCCUAAAUUUUUGCCACGUGAUGAAUUCUCCUUCACCGCUGGCUUCCCUCUUCCCACUCUCAUUUCCAUCCAAUGCUUCAUUUUUCUAACCCUUACCUUUUAAUUAAUGAAUUUAUAUAGUCCUAUCUUCACCCAAUAUUUUAUCUUCCUAUCCCUCAUCUCUGAAUUAAUGUAUUUAUAUGAUCUUAUCUCCACUCAAUACUUUAUCUUAAUAACUCCCACCUCUCAAUUAAUGUGUUUGUAUGAUUUCAUCUCCAUCUAAUGCUUCAUCUUUUUAGCUUCCACAUCUCAAUUGCUUUCACAAAAAUAAAUAAGUAAAAUAAAAUUUCUUCGUACUUUUUUUUAUAUUGUUUUUUUUUACUUAUUUUCUUGGCGCACAAAAAGGGCUAAUGUUUUGUAAUUUUUUAAAUUUUUUUUUUUAAUUGUGUGUGGAUUGAAAUUAGGAUUCUGAGAAUCGCGACGGGGCGCGGCAGGAGGAAAUGGUGAUGAAUUUGGAGUCAGUAAGGGGAAAAAAAUAAUGGAUGUGGAAGAAUCUAUACAUAAUUAACAUAGUCGUGACGAAGGAAAAAGCUCGAUACUAGCGGUGAAGGCGAUGUAAAGAUCGGAAUUUGCCUCCCCGACGUCAAUAGGGCGAUGAAGGUGUGUUUGGUGUAGAAAUUUUUUUAUUGCUUUUUUUAUUAUUGUUAUGUGUGAUUUAUUUAUCGAAAUUAUAAAUUUUUCUAUAUCUAUACCUAUAUUUGUUUUAUAUCUUAUAUUUGUAUUUAUUGAAGUUUCAUAUCAAAUCAAAAAAUUUAAAAUUUUUAUUUUAUUUAUAUUUUAUCUUUUAUAAUAUCAUUCCGUCGCAAUGCGCAGGUAACUUUACUAAUUAUUACAUAAAAUUCAGAAAAGCUCCUCUCAUAAUACUAUAGAAAAUUUCUCCACUUCGAAUUUUGUUCAGCAACAGGACACAAAUUAACUACAAUAACUUUGCUAAUCGAAAAGAUGUUAAUUUACAACAAUUUGCUCUUAAAUAUUUUUUUUCUAAAAUAUAAGGCUAUUAAGGUACCAAUUGGGAUUGGAAGUAAUAUCCAAUACAAAUGACUCCCACUAAGUAAUUUAGGCCACUAUUUAUACUGGUGCAAACUAUAACCCCAAUUUUUUAUUUUAUUGAAGAGGUAGCAUGUCUAGUUUUUGUAGAGGUAUUUAAAGGUUAAGAUCUCAAAUUUAUUUUAAAAUCACAAUUCAGCUGUCCUUUUCGCAUAUAUGUAAGUGAUGAUCUAUCAAAAAAUAUAUGUAUCACUAAUUAAUUAGAUUUUUUUUUUCCCCUUUUAUUCACUACUAGCUCUGUUUAGUUCGGGUAUAAGCAAGAGCUGUUUAUUCUAGAGAUAGGUAUAAGCUCAGGUAUAAACUUGAAAUAGACUAAUUUUGCAUUUGGAUAUAAAUUAAGUUGUUAUUAAAAAUAAGAAAAAUAAUGUGUGGAUAGAUAAGAUGAAAUAAAAAGAAUAAUGGGUAGUUAUAAAUAGAAAAUAAUAAUAUUACUCCUUAUAUUAUAUUUGAAUUUAAAUUUUAAAAUUUUUAUAUUCGAAAUUUUAAAUUUAAAUACAUAAAUUUUAAAUUUCAAAAAUUCAAAAUUUAAAAUUCAAUUUUUUAAAUCUCAAAUUUGAAAAUUCAAAAUUCAAAGUUCAAAAUUUUAUAUUUUGUAUUUUAUAUUAUUUAAUAUUAAAUCUAAAUUUAAAAAUCUAAAAUAUCAAAUUUUAAAUUUAAAAAAUUUAAAAUAUCAUUUUAAAAAAUCUAAAUUCAAGCGCCUGGCCUCUCGGUUACCGAGAAACCAACGGCAACUUAAAAAAGAAGAACGAGAAUAUUCCGCACUAGUUUCAAAUUCAACACUAUGGGAUACAACCAAAACUCGUUACAAUUUGCGACCACCAAACUUGGAAACAGGAAACCAUGCACCGGGUUCCAUUGAACCGUUGGAGCCUGUGGAAAUUAACCGAUCGAGUCACUUAUGGGGGAAGUGGCGACUCGCUCAAACUGUGGGCCGCGUCACAUUGCCCUUUGUGAUCCGGUCGAGCCACUUUCAAUUUUUCGUCCUUCUCAAAAAUAUUGAGGCCACAAAAAAAUAAAUAAAUAAAUAAAUUAAUUAAUAAACAAAUAAAAGCCACACAAGUGCCCGAUUGGCUACGAGUCCAUUGGAAUUCCCGCAUGCGCCGCUUCACCACCUCCUAAUUGGCUCCUUUUCGAAACCACUUAAUUAGCACACAGUUUUAAAACUAAAAAAAAAAAAAAUCUAAUUUGAUUUAUAGAUUGAUUAGCGAAUCUUAGAUGAUUAUUCCCCAAAAAAAUACUUUAUUUAUAAACAAAUCUUACAAAUUGCAUAAUUCAAUGGAUGAAUUUCAAUCUUAAAAUUAUAAGUCAUGCUUAUAUCUCCGUAAUUUACACUUCUUCACCAAUUAAACACCCUCAUGCAAGCUAAUUUGUAAAGUAUUGUAAAACUAGUGAAGUUACCCGCGCAUGCGGCGGGUUAAUACUAUAAAAGACAGAAGAUUUAUAAAGUAAAAAUUUAAAAUUUUUUUGAUUUGUUAUGAAACAUCAAUAAAUAUAAAUAGUAUGAAAAAAGAGUAUGAGAAAAUCUUAUUUUUCUAAUUAUUUUUUGUGAAAAUAAUUUGUUUAGAUGACAAUAGGCCAUAUGAUCGAAUGUAUUAAUUAGAAAGUAAACGGGAUAGAAGACGAAGCAUCGAGUGGAGAUAUAUGGGACGUGGGAAGGUGAAGGAUCAGGAAAUGAGAAAAAAAGAGAAGGUAAGGGUGAAGAAAAAACUGUCAUGUGGUAAAUGUUAUGAAAAAUAAUGUAUAGCUAUAGAUUAUUUGUAAGUAUAGUUUGCCCUUCUUUCUAGGUUUAAACUGUAAGCGGGAGCCCAGUAGGAUGAGCCGGAGAAAUUAAGCCAUCUCGAUAACCAAUAUACCACAUGAGUUUGUACUGAAUUAAGAAUAAAGCUGUGCUUAUGAAGAUUCUUAUGAACUUUUUGUAUACUUGUUUAGGUAGCUGUACAUCGUUGAUGGAUGUUUACACAUGACCACGAAAUUGAGAGUGUGGAAAUGCAUGACUUUGUAGAAGGUACGUAUGCUUUGCGUAAGCAUAAACAUUACUACUGAAUUGAUUUUAUUAAGCUACAUGAGAUGAUUGAUAAAGAUCCUAAUAAUAAGUAAUUAUUGAGCCAAUUAGGCGCGGAUGAGAUUUAGGUGCGAAUAUUUCCUUCAAAAGUAUCUUUUGGGUCGUGUAUCGAGAGCACCGGAAAAAGGUAUUGCGCCAAUUGAAGAAAGUUACGGCAACCGCAAGCAGUUACAUGCGGUUCCAAUCGGCUAGAAGUGGUCCGAAAUAUGAGGAGAUAGUGGCCGAUCGUAUAAUAACUGACCGAGGGGGGUUAUCUAUAAAUAGGAUAAUAAUACCCCAAAAAGAGGUUUUCGUCCCUGCGCACAAAAAAACACUAUUAUUUUCCUGUAUCUUCCUUCCUCGCAUUUACUGUUUUCCUAGGAGUAGUUGCUGUAACUUAGAUAUUUGGAGUCUGUCUGCUCUCUCGGCAUCACUUCCUUGAAGAAUACACUUAAAGUCUGCCUGCCCCACGGGCAUCACUCUCCUGUUCUUAUACUUUUUCAUUUUCUAUUCAAUAGAAAGUCACGUUCGGCUAUUCAGGCUGAUCAGAUUUCGUAUUGUGCUAGCCAUUCGGCUCAUCUCCCGGCUUAACUUCUGACUUUUCCCGUAUAUUCGGCUCAUCCAGUCGAACCGGAGAGUAAAAAGAGUUUUCGAACCCGGCUGACCCGAUCCCUCGUCAGCCGAAUCGUUUGAUCUGUCGAAUGGCGCAAACUUCGAGGGUCACUAUUUGCAGCCGUUUCGCAUCCCGACGCGCUCUCAGAGGAGGAUCGUUGACUAGGUCCAGGGUCGGAAAAUUUCGGCACCAACAGUAAUAUAAAAAUUUCAUGCUAAAAUAACUUUUAUACUUUUUAUUUAAAUUUUUAUGUAGAAUAAUUAUUAUAAAAAAAAAUUUCCAUGUCGCAUGUGUGUACUUACUUAGGGCAUAGAUUUUGACUGUGUGUGAAGGCUAGGAGGCAGCACGAGGUUUCGCCCAAGUGCUGUUGUUGUUGUUGUUGUUGUACGUAGGAGAAAAGUAAUAAAUAACAAAAAAUAUAUAUAUGGGUGUUGUUAUUGUGUUCUUUUUAUUUUAUAAAAGGUGGGAAAAUGAUAGUUUCCCACUUCAGUAGUGCAAUGCGCGUUCCAAAAUGUUCAAUGUUAAUUAGAAGUGAUGAUAUUUGUGUUUUAAAUGGAGUUGCACUCCUGGGUAUUAUUAAUUACUCAUCUAGACAAUUUAUAGUUUUGAGACUUGUAGAGUAAAAUCAUUUGAUCCAACUGAUUUUUUUUAUAUAAAAUCAAACUAUUUAAUGUAGGAAAGAUUUUUUAGAUAAUAUUAUUUAUGUCUCGACUUCGUUUGUUGCAUAAUGUGUAAAAUAAAAUAAACCAACUAAAAGUACAAGAUAUAACUUUCAUUAAAUGGCUGUUUUGUUUUAUGUGUUCUUUUUGCAAGAAUCAAAUAACUAGCUUUUAGAUCAUCAAAUAUAAAUAUAUUAUGCUUCUAAUUUUCUAGCCAUCCUUUAAUUUUAAUGGGUGGUUAAGAUGAAAGAGAAAAGAAAAAUAAGGAAGAAAUUAAAAAAAAAAAAAAUUAAGACAUCCAAUUUCACUUCAAUUGAGAAAAGAAAAAUUAAUUAUGUAAAAAUUACUUUUCCACGAGCUAUACCAAAGGGGUACUUAUUCUCGUUAGAAAAAAAAAAAAAAAAAUCCUCUAUUAUUACUACAUUAUUAUAAAUAAUAACGACUUAAUCCACCAUGCAUUACUCUUUUAAAACUUAUGUACAGCAUACGAUGAACCGCCGACAAAAACAACUCUAUUAAUAACGAACAUUAAUUAUUACCGCGCACAAGGAUGUGGUUCAUGGCCAGGUGCUCCGCUCCUUCAUCCACGUACACCUGUUCCUAUAUAUAUGACGCCAUCUUCGACUACGAGGCUUAUAAAAGCCCACGCUCGCUCUCGCCGUUCCGCACCUCCAUUUCCUUUUUAUGUGUUCAUACCUUCGCCCCUAGCUAAUUACUCCGCAAAAUUUUUAUUUUUCGUUUUUUGGUUUUGUUUUAUUCAAGUAGGAUUGAAUAUUUGGUAUCAAAUGGGCACCGCGAUCGUCGACCCGGCCCGAACCGCGAUGGCGAAUCACAUGAAUGGCGGCGGAGGCGGAGGCGGAGGCGGAGGCGGUCGCUUCGCUCCGCCGCCUCUUGCGCAGAUCCUCCCGAGGCGUGCGCCUGAUUCCGACGAUGAGGAGGAGGAGGAGGAGGAGGACGACGACGACGUGGAGGACUCGGAUUGGGCGGCGCUGUGCGGGAGCCACGAGGAGGUGGAGCCCUCGGUGCAGGACCCGCGCGACGAGGGGACGUCGGACCGGUGGGUCCGGCGCAACCCCUCGCUGAUCCGGCUCACGGGGAAGCACCCCUUCAACUCCGAGCCCCCGCUCCCGCGGCUCAUGCACCACGGGUUCCUCACCCCGGCGCCGCUCCACUACGUGCGCAACCACGGGCCCGUCCCCCGGGCCGAUUGGUCCGCGUGGACCGUCGAGGUCGCGGGACUGGUCCGGCGCCCGGCGCGGCUCACCAUGGACCAGCUGGUCCGGGACUUCCCCCCGGUCGAGAUCCCCGUCACGCUCGUCUGCGCCGGGAACCGCCGCAAGGAGCACAACAUGGCGCGCCAAACCGUCGGCUUCAGCUGGGGCCCCGGCGCCGUCUCCACGUCCGUGUGGCGCGGGGCCCGCCUCCGCGACGUCCUGCGCCGCUGCGGCAUUGCCGCGCGCGGGAGCGGGGCCCGCCACGUGCGCCUCGAGGGCGCGGAGGACCUCCCCGGCGGCGGCGGCGGCGGGAAGGGGUCCAAGUACGGGACCAGCCUCCGGCGCGAGGUCGCGAUGGACGUGUCGCGCGACGUCUUGCUGGCCUACAUGCAGAACGGAGAAUUGCUGUCCCCCGACCACGGCUUCCCGGUGAGGGUCGUCAUCCCCGGCUUCAUCGGCGGCCGCAUGGUCAAGUGGCUCCGCAAAAUCACCGUCGCCCCAGAGGAGUCCGACAGCUACUACCAUUACCACGAUAACCGCGUCCUCCCCUCCCACGUCGACGCCGAGCUCGCCAACGCAGAAGGUAUCCAAAUUCAAAAUCAUACUGAUAUACUCUCUUCUCUACUUCGACUUCAGUAGAGCUGAAGGACGCACUAAUAAAAUAAAAUUUUUAAACAUAAUUUAUUUUAUUUUAUUUAUUUAUUUAUUUUUUGAUUUGGUGUGGUGGAUGAAUAAAGAUUGGUGGCACAAGCCGGAGUAUAUCAUCAACGAGCUAAACAUUAACUCGGUGAUCACCACGCCGUGUAACGACGAGAUCCUCCCCAUCAACGCAUUAACCACGCUAAGCCCGUAUACCAUCAGGGGCUACGCCUAUUCCGGUGAGUCCGUUAUUUCGCUUAUUAUUUUUAUUUAUUUACUACUGUGGUAAAAAAAAAAUUAAAAAUAAUAAUAUUUAGAAUUGAUUGAGAUGUUUUUUUGGGUUAGGUUGUUUUUUUUUUUUUUUCCUCCCAUAAUUUUGGUGUCCGCUGAAACUUUUAGUUAGUGAAAAAACAAAAAAAAUAAAAAAAUAAAAACGAAAAGAAAUUAACAGAAUUGAUGAUUGUGGUCGAAAUUGCGACCUAGUAAUUUUUAUCCCAUGAAUUUUGACAUUGCGGUUCCUGUGAGCCUUUUGCUUACCAAUUAAGUAAAGGGAAAAAUAUAUGGAUCAGAAAAUAUAUACUUUUUUAAAAUUACUUGCUCUAUGUAUUUGCUAUUAAAUGUAUAGGCAUAUUUCAAAAUAUUUGGCUCAGAAACUUGCGUCAAUAUAAUUCGAAAUUAAGCCCGAGUUUGCUCGAGAAAAAUAACUUAUUUUGUUAUUACUAAACUGAAUUCAUUAAAAUUAGUUAUCAUUUACUAGAGUAAAAAUAUCUCAAUUAAGUAUUCACUUCGCACAGACUAAACGACGCAAGUUCGAAGCAUAAUUAUUUUAUAUUUCAAAUUAAAUUUAUUUUUUUUAAAAGGAUAAAUAAAAUUAAUAGCACAUUAAUUAUCUUCUAUUCACUUCACCUAAGCUAUUACACACGUUCUUUGAAGGCGGCAAUUUAUAUACAUACAGAGAGAGAGGGGGAAGGAGAGAAAGAGUCCUGUCGGAAUACUAUCGAUAGCACCAAAUGCUUAGUGUUACUAAGUUUUCCGCCGUUAGAUUUAACCUUUUGACUAUUUUCAUUCAUUAGAUUAUAUUACUCAACCAAUGAGUCACUCAGCUCCAAGGGGUCCAUAUCAUUCUAAUCGUAUAUUUUUUCAUUUAAGAACCGAAAAUCUAAUAGCACCAAGCGCUUGGUACAAUUAAUAGUAUUUCAGCCUAGUUCUAUAUAUAUAUAUAUAGAGAGAGAGAGAGAGAGAGAGAAUUGAGCUCCUAUAUUUUUAAAAGUAUCAAGUCAUUAGUGCUUGUAAGUUUUUAGCCAUUGGAUUAAAAGAUGUGCGGUUAGAAUGAUAUGCGCCCCCUUGGGUUGAGUGGGUGGUCGGUUGAAUAGUAUAAUCUAACCGGUGAAUAUGAUCAAAGCCAUUCAUUAUCUACUAUUCACUUCACCAAAUUAUUACACACGUUCUUUGAAAGCCGCAAUAUAUAUAUAUAUAUAUAUAAUCUGCUUAUUAUUUAUUACACUGACUCAUGAGAGGAACAACAAAAGAAAUUUGCCUCUUAUUCAGAAUAAUAUAAAGCCUAUUUUAAAUAUUAUUUCGGCUUGUUUACAACAUGCUGUUUUUUUUUCUUUUUUGGCUUUAUUCCCGCCGACUCACAACGCAAAAAGUCGGCAAUUGAAAUAUUAUUAUUAUUAUUAUUAUUAUUGUUACUACUGUGUCCACUGAUAGUUUAGAAUAACUACUUUUUUAUAAAAAAAAAAAUAAAUUAUUAUACUAUUUUUAUAUUUUAUGCUCAACAUAAUAAUUUAUUUAAAGCUGCGUUUUUUGUUUGACAGGGGGAGGUAGGAAGGUGACGAGGGUGGAAGUCACGCUGGACGGCGGCGAGAGUUGGGUGGUGUGCGCAGUCGACCACCGCGAGAAGCCGAACAAGUUCGGCAAGUACUGGUGCUGGUGCUUCUGGUCCGUCGACGUCGAGAUCCUCGACCUCCUCGGCGCCAAGGAGAUCGCCGUCCGAGCAUGGGACGAGUCACUCAACACCCAGCCUGAGAAACUCAUCUGGAACGUCAUGGUACACAACCAAAAAUCAAAAUCAAAAGUUUAAAUUUUGAAUUUGUAAUUAAUGCACUGUUUGUUUUAGUAGGACUGUGGCCACUUGAGCGAUAUAAAAUUAAUAUUCUAAUUAGAUAAAUAAUAAAUUCAAAUUUUACAAAACAGUUGUUGAAUAAUUAGAUAGUAAAUUAAGAAAGUCUAGAGGAUCGUAUUUUCAAAAUGCUUUAUAAUUUAGACGAAGUUUAAGUAAAAAUAUAUAAAAUUUAUCCGUAGUAUGGACUAUUUUGAGUUGAUUACUUAACAUCAAAAAUAAGUUUAAUUUUACUGGUCAACCUUCUAAUUUGUUUAAUUUGAAUCGUUUAAUAAUACUUUGAUUUUAAAAUUUAGAAUAAUUAUAGAUUUUAAUAAAUUUAUAUUUGCGAGAAUUGUAUAUAUGAAGUAUUCUAACUAUAUUUGUAAAGACAAACGAUCCAUUCAGAUUUUAAAAUUAAAAUAUUAUUAACUGACUCAUAUUAAGCAAAAUAAAAUAUUAUUAGACAAUAAAAUUAAAAUUUUUUAAAAAAUUAAAUAGUUGACUUAAAAUAAUACAUAGAUCAGAUAAGUUAUGUAUGUUUGAACCUAAAUUUCAUAAAUUUUUUACCCGAAUAUCUUGCCAUGCAUUUUAAUUUAUGCGACUAAACUGGGAAGACAGUGAGUUAAAUGGUGUGAUCAUUUCGGGGAUGCAGGGCAUGAUGAACAACUGCUGGUUCAGGGUGAAGGUGGCAGGCUGCCGGCCGUACAGGGGCGAGAUCGGGCUGGUCUUCGAGCACCCGACGCAGCCCGGCAACCAGCCCGGCGGCUGGAUGGCCAAGCAGAAGCACCUCGAGACUUCCACCGCCACCGCUGCCGCCGCAGCCGCUCGUCUGCCGACUCUCAAGAAAAGCACGUCGUCCCCCUUCAUGAACACCGCCGCCCAGCAGUUCUCCAUGUCGGAGGUCCGCAAGCACUCGUCGGCCGACUCCGCCUGGAUCGUCAUCCACGGCCACGUCUACGACUGCACCGCCUUUCUCAAAGACCACCCGGGCGGCGCCGACAGCAUCCUCAUCAACGCCGGCACCGACUGCACCGAGGAGUUCGACGCCAUCCACUCCGACAAGGCCCGCGCCAUGCUCGACACCUACCGCAUCGGCGAGCUCGUCGCCGCCGGCUAUGCCUCCGACAACUCGGUGCACGGCGCGUCGGACUUUGCUAACCAUCUGGACACGAUUAGCGAGGCCGCCCGAGCUCCGGCUGCGGCUCUCGUCGAUCGGCGCGAGAAGGUGCGGUGCCGGCUCGUGGCCAAGGCCGUGGUCUCGCGCGACGUGCGGCUCUUCCGAAUUGCUCUCCCGUCGGACGACCAAGUUCUUGGUCUUUCAGUUGGUAAACACAUUUUUCUUUGCGCCACUGUCGACGGAAAGCCGUGCAUGCGCGCCUACACGCCGACGAGCCCCGUCGACACGGUUGGGUACUUCGAGCUCCUCAUCAAGGUUUACUUCAAAGGUGAGCACCCAAAGUUCCCCGACGGCGGAGUCAUGUCGCAGUACCUAGAGUCGCUUCCAAUCGGCUCCGCCAUCGACAUAAAGGGGCCACUCGGGCACAUCGAGUACUCCGGCCGGGGCAAUUUCAUGGUCAACGGGAAACCCCGGUUCGCGCGGCGGCUCGCGAUGAUCGCGGGUGGGACGGGGAUCACGCCAGUGUACCAAGUUAUCCAGGCGGUGCUCCGUGACCAGCCGGACGACCGGACCGAGAUGCACUUAGUCUACACGAACCGGUCGGAGGACAACAUUCUCCUAAGGGACGAAUUGGACUGGUGGGCGGCGGUGUAUCCGGACCGGCUCAGGGUUUGGUAUGUAGUGGACAGGCUCAGCCGGCCCGACAAGGAGUGGCGGUACAGCAUCGGUUUCGUGACGGAGGCCAUAUUACAGGAGCACGUCCCCGCGGGCGGCGCCGACGACACGCUCGCACUCGCGUGCGGGCCGCAGCCGAUGAUACAAUUCGCCGUUUUGCCAAACCUCGAGAAGAUGAAGUAUGAUAAAUCCGACUCCAUCUUUAUUUUUUGAUACGGCACGAUACGAUUCGGACACUGUAAAUAUAUAUGUAUGGAUUUAUUUUGACUACUGUGCUAGUCCUAUUCUUUGGUAAUUUAAGCCAACAAAAGCCUAGAAGAGAGGUCAAAAGCGGAUAAGCAGAUGCGUAUGGAAUCUCCAUUUCCAUUUAUUAAUUUGAUUAAUGCAAUGUGUAUUAUUAUGGUUUGAUGGAAUCUUUGAAACAAGGGGGUUAGUUGUGGGACCAAAAAGUAUAUGAGAAAAUCCUCUUGGAGUGGUACUAAAGGAUAUUCAUUAGAAGUGGUUGAUAGUGAUGGGCACUGAAAAAGAAAAUGUUCUUCAAGUUUGUUUUUUUCUUUUUAAAGAUAAGUGCUAAAUUCAUUGAACUUUAAUAUCAAAUUGUAUGUCAUUGUUAGUCUCUACAUAAUGCAAUUUAAUUUCCGAGUUAAAUGUAUUGUAACAAAUGUAGCUCAUCUAGAAGAACCCCAAUUUUUUUAAAUAAACAUCAAAGCGUGGUCUGUAAGUUUGAGACGAUCAUAUAUACUUUUCAUUGAUCUAGGCUAUAGGUCACACAGUAGCCACCAUCCGUACAAAUAUUUAUUUAUAUUUGUAUUUCUUUGGUUAACAAACUAAAAUUUAAAGGCUAAAUUUAGUCUUACUUAAACUUCAAUACAACUUAAAAGUGAUUUUCAACCUAAAAAGUAGUUGUGCGCAAAGAAAUAGGUUGAUUAAGUUAGUUUUUACCACAAGAAAAUACUCUCUAGUAAGAGCUAAUAAACAUGGUACAAAAGGCUACAAAGGACAUUGACAAAUUUGCUUUUGUUUAAAGUGUAAGAGCAGAUGCGGAAGAGUAAAAUUAAAAGCAUGCAUGGUUGUGAGGAGGUCAAAGUAAUAGUGAAAUGAUAGAUGCAAUGAAUUAAGGAAUCAUUGAAUUUGCCCUCUUUACCUUCAAGGACACAUUACUGUCCUUAAUAGAGUAGAUACUUUCCAAGAAAAACUCUUCAACACUGCAUACAAACCACCCAUGGUUGAGUGUUUACCCACCAACCCUGUUGCUUUUAAGUUUCUCCUUUUGACUUUAAUGACAAGAAGAGACAACAGAGUCCAAUAACAUCAUAGAAUAUUCUAUUAAUACCCCAACAAUAUUUAAUAAUUUUAAUAAAUAAGUUUUUUUUGUUGACAUGCAAAUUACAAAUUAUCCGAAGUGAUAUAAAUGCUACAGAACAGUAUUAUAAUAAGAGAAAUGCUAAGAGUACGCCUCUAGACUAGGUAUAGAUCUUACACCCCUCACAUCCAAGAACUCUUAUUCUCUACUUGUCAUAUUAAUUUUUUUUAACUAUGAAUUUAAAGAAGUUUAUGAAGCCUAAGAUGCUGGAACUGCUUCAGAUAUAACAGUAAAUAAAGAUGAUGCCAAUGAGAACUAGCAAGUUCAAAGAAUUUCUCAACCAAAUGUGUUAAUGAAUCAUGGCCCUAGCUUGACUUAUUAAUCUAACAUUAUCCAUCAAAUAGUUUUCAGUGUUUGAAAUUUGCUGUAAUUCAAUUAAUCGAAUUGAUCUAUAGUUUUUCAAGCAAAUUUGCAAUGAAAUGUAGUUAAGUAAGGUCCAACCCCACAAAGAACAUGGUGUCACAUUAAGCCUCUUGAGUACUAACAUGCAAAACAAAGAAUACCUACAUGGAUUUCUUGACAAUAAAAAGCAUUCUCAAGGUGAGAUUAGUUGAAGGAAGUUAAUGCAAAGAUGAGAUAACACUCCCCACAGAGGACACAAGAUAAUUGAUUUAAUCUAAUGAUUGAAACCAAGAACAAGCAUUUUGUUCGGUAAUCGAGAAUGUUUACUAGAAACAACAAUAUGACAACAAAGAAAUGAAGAAUACAGAUCAUUCAAAUAAUCUUAAUGCUUCCUAGAAUGAAGCAAAUAAUUUACACCAUAUGCAAAUGUUAAGAAGUGCACAAAUAAACAAAGAUGCAUCAACAUACAUGACAAGAACAACAAUAUUUCAUUUGGGUCUAAAUUACAUGAAUGUAAAUCAGUAAACUAGAGAAGAAAUUCACAAAUAUCUAGCCAUUACCUAUUCAACAGUGUGCCGGUUUCCCUUUGAUCAGCAAUAAACAAGAACGGUACUAGCUUCUGCUCCUCAGCUUACAUCCAUGCCCGAUCUACCCCGGCUUCUUCGUCGGCGGCGCCGUCGUCCCUCCGAUCUCGCCACAUCCAUGCCUCUCCCUUGGGCACUAAUGACAGAAGCCACCGCCUCAUCAUCAACAUCAGCUGAAUACGCAGCACUAACAUCAGGACCGCUAAUUCCAUCUACAGAAUCAUAACCACUCUCUUCUUCCCUUUGUUCCGAUCCUGCGUUCUCUGUUUGAAGCCUCAUAAGUCGCGCACCCUCUUGCAAGAAGAAGUAAAGGAUCCUCCUACUAAUGUCAUGACUUCCCCUUUCAUCGUUCUCUUCGUCGGAACCGUCCAUCUCUAUAACAUAAUCCCCAAACACCACUGCCCUCGGCAUUGACGACCUGAUAGUGCUGAUCACAUCCUGCCGCUCCCUCUCGUGCUCGAGUGUCCUCCACUUCUGCUCAUGUGCAGGAUCCACAUCACGAGGCCUUGCGGAAGGGUGCACAGACUUCACAUGUUUGCGGAGCUCUCUAUAUGAUCCCACGAAAGAGCAAUCAUCCUGCAUACAGCUUCUCUUCUUACUAUUUAAAUAUUCACGAGCUGGUUCCACAACGGUCCAUCCCUUCACCUCGCCCCGGCACAGAGGGCAGGAAAGCUCGAUUGCUUCUGGCUUUUGGCCUGUCUCCUUGGAGUAGGCUUUUCUGAACUGGUCGAGGCAAUUAGAGUGGCGGUCACUGGUCCCGCACAUAUAAGGGCGGCAACCCUUGUCAUGGGACGAACAGAGGAGGAGGACGGCGUUGUGGGGGUACUCCAUACACACCGAGCAGGUGGUGUCUUCCCACUCCCUCUUCUUCUCUGAGCAUAAGAGCCUAUUCUUCUUCCUAUCAGUUACAUCUUCUGUAUUCCAAUGGUAGGAUGGGAUAGAAUAUGGAGUAGACCUGUGCUGACGAGUUGAAAGUCUUCGGCGUCUGACACUUCUUGCCAUUUUAGCAGAAUAUCUGAGGAAAAUAAUUGUUAAAAUCUUAAACCAGUGUUAUAAAAUGCUCUCCUAAUAUUCAUUUAUGGGAUUCUGUUGACAUGUAUGUAAGAAAGGUUGUAACGAAGACCACAUUUUGUGAACCUCUUUCUUUGUUAUGCACUAUCCUUGUUCAAAAAUAUAGAGCAACGUAAGUAAAAUUCCAAUAUCUCGCAACUAAUAGUGUAAUUGUGUGUGGGACUGAAAGAUUUUAUGCUUGCACUUAAAAAUCACAUGAAAAUUUCCAGCUUUACACUUGUAUAAAAUAAUACUGGUUCAUGCAAAUAUGUCUCUGUCUGUGCGAAGAGCAUGUAACUGCAUGCGUGCAAAGAACCACAGACACAUGCGAGAACAAAGAAGACAAUAAGACAGAUAUGACCGAAUUUUCACUCACCACUACUCAACUAGACGACAGAAACUUGUCGUGCAACAAUAGCCUACCUGUGGGAUAAAAAAGUUUUGUAUAACACUCAACAACUUAGUUCUCUAUUCAGGAACAUAAAACAAGCAGUACUAUAGGCCUAGAGACCAUCAACCACCAUUCAAUUAUUUAGACAACUCUACUUCCAAGUUAGAGGUAACAAAGAAUAGCCACAAUAAUAUACGAGGCAAAAUGGAGUUACUUUCAGUCCAAAACAUAUCACAAAUGAAAUAUUUAACAAACAUAAACCGUCCAUCUACUUUACUGGAAGACAAUUUAGGUCCCAAAUAUAUGUAGAUUAGCAUGCGCGCCUUUGAAAACGAUAGAUCAUAAAUCUUUCGAGUCAAGGGAUCUGGAUAAAUCUCAAUUGGCAAAGCUAGAUCCUACGAUUCCUUGGAGACGUAAGGAUUUACACUAGACAUCUCACAUUACGUCUCCAACUUCAAAACAGAUGAUGAAUCCAUAUAGCCAAUUACAGAUGGUAUUGUAAUGAGUGGAUAAUUGUCUUGUAAUACAAUAAUUAUAAGACAAAUAAAAGAUUUAUCUGAUAACUAUGUUGCUUUAAUGUAUCUAUUCAUCUUUGACACCAAGCAUCCUCAGAUCUACAAUUGCCUACAACUUUAUUUUAACAUUCACCAUAACUCAAGGCCAAAAUUAUUCAAUUUAGCUGUUCGAACAGAACCUAAUUUUAGUCCUAAGAAAAACUAAAACAUUUCAACACUAGCACCAACUUGGGUAGAUCAUUGUUAUACUCCAUCUCCCAAAAAACCAAGAACUUGAAAAUCAAGGAUGAACUAAAAAGUGUUGCGAUAAAAUUGAAUUAACUCCAUAUGAAGUGAAAAAUUCAGAAUUCCAAUUGCUACAGAGCAUAAGCCAGGAAUAGUAGCUGUGUCACAAACCUAAAUCAUACAGCAUUAAUUUUUUUUUAAAAAAAAUGGAGGUAAGAGAAUUUAUUUAGAAUUCCCAGGUCAAUUGUUAACAAUUCGUGUAACAAUUUCGCCUUUCCCCAACAAUUUAAAAGCUCAAAUGCCCACUUUGAUAUCUAAACUACUCUCCUAUGAAAUCAUACUCAUGAAUUACCUGUUUUUGAGGAAGCCCCCUCUCAAACAAACAAAUGAGGAAAAUAAAGCAAGAGAUAAUAGAAAAAUGCCAACUUUGUUACUUAAGACAGUUGAGGGAUACAAACAUAUAUAUAGAGAUAAAUAUAUACAGCAAACCCCACAUCAAACAAAGAUAGAAUUUUUAUUAGUGUAUUAUAUAAGAUGCUCUGAUCAACCGAUAACCCCGAUGGGAUCUACCCUAACCACGCAACGCAAGCAUUAUUAAAUUAAAAAAAAAUUAAAAAUAAUUUAAAAAAAAAAAAGGUGGGGGGGGAGACUCACAUGCUCUUACGAUCUCGGCAUCUUACAGCUACUACUCAGAUCUCCCAACCCCCCUCAAACUGGGGACCCCAAAAAAGGGGGAGGAGAAAAAAAGUUAAAAAGAAAAAAAGGGAAAGGUAAAGAGGGAAGGUAAAAGAGAGGGCCCAAAAUUGAACUCGAAUGUUUCGGAAAUUUUUAAAAUUUUGCGAGGAAAACGAAGAAGGGGGAAGGGUCGAAUUGUGUACCUAGGGUUUCCUCGAAUGGCGAUCGAGCUCAAGCAAAUCCUCGCGCUUUUUUUUUUUUUUUUUUUUUUUUUUUUNGGAAGAAGACGAAAUGGUAACGGAGUUGUAGCCACGUUUGUUAUAUAGGGAGGGGACGAGUGGUGUUGAAAAUGGGAAUUAACGUCAUUUGGACCGCGCGAUGAGGACACGAUGUCGAGGAGUUUGGAUGUGGACCGUAAUAGGCCGGGCCUGAUCAACCAGAUCCGGCCCGGUUUGAGUUGAUUAGCUCUUCCUAUAUGGGCCGAAUUAAGCCCACGACAAGCAAGGCCUGUAGUAGGCCUAAAAGUUAUUCAGGCUUGGGACCCCUUUGGUGUGGAGACUAAUGUUAAGUAAAACGGAGUUGGCCAAAAAUAUAUAGGCUUCGUUUAGAAUUACGAGGAGAUUACGUUAUAUAUGGUGAAAAAGUACCAUGAGAAAAUAUCCUAUUUCUUUUCAUAUGUAGAGUCAACCGGAAAACACAGAAGCAUAUCGCUAUAUACUUUUAUCCCAAUUCCAUUUUAUCUAAUAGUAUCAUAUGAGCCUCAAUACCAAACUAAGCUAUAAUAAUAUGUUUCUUCAUUUUUUAAUGAGACAGUAAAAUGUAUAUUAAGUAUAGAAAUAAAUAGAAUAUUUUUCAAAUCUUUUGUUGUUUCAAAAUUCACAAAUAAAUGGUUGGUGUAUUUUCCAGCAUCAUUUUAUGUGGAAUUAGUGAUUUAGAAGCUGUUUGGUUUCUCCAAAAAGCAUGGAAAAAAAAAUUUCAUAAAAAAUCUCUUUAGCUUUCAGUUUUAAAUCCAUGUGAUUGCAAAGAAAACUUGCUUCUUUGGAAAGCUUAUUUUCAAAUUUUAUAGAAAACUAGUAUUUUUGUUUUUCUUAAAAAAUUCUGAAAAAUAAAAAUAUUAAUUUGCUAUGAAAUUUGCAAAAAAGUUUUUUAAAAAAUUAGUUUUUCUUGAAACCAAACGAACGAAAAACUAAAAAAAAAAGUUUUCAUAAAAGUAAAAUUGAACUGUCUACAUAUGUACACGAAUACAUGAGAUGAACGAAGAUCAUAAAGGUUUAAGGCAUUACUUGUUCUUGGGGCUUUUCAAAAUAUUUUCGAACCUCUUUACAGCAUAGAAAAAAAAAAAAAAAAAAAAAAGGAAAAACUGUGGCAGUGUUUGGGUGAAGAACGAGGACCCAGAGAUGACAAUAUAUACGGAAAUACGUGGACCAUUCCUCCAAAUACUACAUACGGUGGUAUACGCUCUACGCUUCGAAAUUAAUGGGCGGAGGAGGAGAUACGUAGAGAAGGCGCAUAUUUUUGUUAGCAAAUUAUAUCAAAGGACAAUAAUUUUAUAGGUAACGGCAAGAAUUUAAUUAUCACGGCGUGCCAAAAAUUUACAGACACGGUAUGAUACGGUGCAUGUCGAAUCAUACCAAUAAAUGUCAAUCAAAGAAAUACAUGUAUACCAACAUAAUAGCAUAAAAUAUUUAUUUUUUAGCAACAAAAUAUUUUAAUUAUUUAUUUAUAUUUUUUAAAAUUUUAUUGAGAAAAUUACUUAUUAUUCUUUUUAAAAAAAUGAGGGUUUUGAAAUGUAUUAUUAGAACGAAAAUUGUAUCGUACUGAUAUAUUAUUAACACGAUAUGACACGGUGAAUGCAGUCUGUAUCGAUAAACACUUAAAUUCUUAAAUAACGGUGAAAUUGUGAUAUUCCAAUAAGUAAUUCUUUACCCUGCUAAAAUUUCUCUAUCACUGUCCAAUAAUAUCCAACUGUAAAAUACUAUUAAUCUUCAUAAUCUUAGUCAAUGUGGCAUCUAUAAUCUAUAAUUUAUAAAAUCUAUUAAUUUAGAUGAAUUCCCAAUGUUUGUUGUCAUAUGGUAAGUUUUUCUUCACCCUCACUAGCAUGUGACUCUUCUUCUUUCCCUCACUAAACUUUCAAUGUACAUUUUAAUGAUUCCACUAACAAAACUUUUAAUUAAUAUAUUUAAAUGGUUCCAUUCACAAAACUUUAAAUUAAUAUAUUUAAAUGACCCCACUAUCAUGUAUCAUUCUAUCAUUUCUAUCUACAAUUAUUCAUUAUUACCAUUUCCAUUCCCUCCACUGUACUUUUAAUUAAUGCAAACGAUUUCACUACCAAACUUUCAAUUAAUAUGUUUAAAUGAUCUCACUACUAUCUUACAAUCCUAACCUCUCUCUAUCUCCAAUUAUUGAUUAUGGCAAUUUUCCUUCCCUCCACCAGACUUUUAAUUUUUUUAUCUCCAACCUAUUCCUCGCUCCCUCCCUGUCUCUCACUAAUACGCGCCCACUUCCCCUCUCCCCAUGACGUUUGGUGGAUAUAUCAAGUGAGAUACAGAAGAGAAUGUUUAAUAUUUUCUUAUUAUUAAUUACUAUUAUAAUUUUUACCUGCUGUAAAGCGCGGGCCCUUCACUAGUUCUAUUGAUUUUCAUAAUCUUAGUCCAUGUGGCAUGCUUUCCUUAAGUUUUACCUAUGGGAUCCACCUUCAGAGUUUCUCCCUCUUCCGAUUUCUAUUCUCCAAUCGCUUCGCUCAUUUUUCGCUCUUCCAUACUGUGCUCGCUCACCUUCCACGUAACUCAUUGCCUCUUCGACUUUCCCUCUCAUUAAUUAAAUGCUACUCUCCAAUCACUUUGCUCUUUGUUCAUUCCUCCGCAGUGUGCCCAUUCGCCUCUUCCGUAAAAUCAUUGCCUCUUCGGUUUCCUGCCUCAUUAAUUUCUACUUUUUACGAGAUGUUGCCUCAUAAUAAAUGAUAAAAAAAGAAAAAAUUAUUUCUAAAGUUUUUUUUCUUUAUUGUACACUACUUUUUAUAAAUAAGUUAUUUGAGUUAUAUAAAAAUUGACAGAGCAAAAUUAUCAAGAACUAAUUAAAUUAUUUUGUUGCACCAACAGACUAAAUAUAAUAUAUAAGCCGUUGGACUCAUGGAUGUAUGAAAAUUAGCUCUUUACAAUUUAGGUAGUUACAACUAAAUAUUAUUAUUUUUAAAAUUUAUUUAUAUGGCUGUCAUAUAUUCCUUGCACUUUUUCUUCAAUUACUUUACAUUCUGUACUAAUUCUAUAAUAGCAUGACAAUUUUGAUAUUUAUAGAUAAAUGCAAUAAUAGUUGGUGUUAAGAGAAAUCUAAUUUGGGUUAAGAAAGAGAAUUGGACAAAUAAAUUUCUUUAUAUGAUUAGUUAAAUAUGAAUUUAAGUCUCUUCAGCAUAAUCUUUUGCCAUUUGUUAUACAUUCUUUAUAAUAUUCUAAAUAAAUAUCUUUUCACUUAUACUUCUUACUUUUUCAUUUCUUACAUUUUUUUUUUCUUAGAUUGUAAUUUCAUUGUAAAAAAAUUUUCUAUAUUUUUUAUAUUAUUAAAUCCUUUCUCACGUUAUUAUUUGUUAUUAAAUUUGUAAAUUUGUACUAAAAUAUUAUUACCCACCGCAUCGCCCGGAUUCUUACACUAGUAAUAACAUGGAAAAAAAAAAAAAACUGAAAUUCUUAUUAGGGGUUUGAAUGAUCACCGUAAUCUCCAAAUCAAAUGCUAUCUAAAAAUUUCAUUUCGCUAAUUAAUGAUAUUGAUCGAUCACCCUAUACAAAGCUAAUUACAUGCGUGUGUGAAUGCAUGUGCACAACAGCAAGUUUUCAUACGUCAAUACCUUUAUUUUAUGAAACUUUUGAAUUAGCACUAUGCAUUUAAAUCGUUAUAAUUCUGAAAAUUAUAUACAAAACUUGUUUUUCAUGCGUACAUAUUAUUCACAACAUAUAUAAAACUAAUUAAAUCACUACAACAAAAACGGUCUAUAGUGACACUUUUAAAUGUAGCUAUAUGUCAAAAAAGUGCUGCUAGCUAAAAUUACCGACACUUUUAAAAAGUGUUGCUAUAUGUGGGGUCGCUAGGUAUAUAGUGACAGUUAAAGAGUGUCGCUAUAACCUAAAAGAGUGCUGCUAAUUUACCAACACUUAUUUAAGCAUUUAGCAACCGCCGAAACUCUAUCUCGUUGGCUGCGGUGGUGGAGGAGGACGACACGAAAGGCUCUUCGUCUAGAAAUUCAGUGGAUUGAGUAAAGAGAGAAGAAAAGAUGGUAAGUGAUUUUUCUUUUUUUUUUCUUUUCUGUUUGUAAUCGGGCCAAAUGGACUGGGUGUGGUGGGUUGAGUAGAGUAAUCUUUUAUUUUUGGUUGGAUUGGGCUUUAUAUUUAGAAUAAAUGGGACACUUACUUAAAAGUGUCCCAAACAUGUGUCCCUAUAACCUAAUUUUGUUAUAGUGAAUACCCACCUUAUUAAUAACGUUUGUUUGACAUUAAAGACAAAACUCUUUUUUUGAUUCUUUUUCCAACUUUUUAGAAUGACUAAAUUCAACGCUUUAGAUUUACCUACCGGUUUAGGUUAACCUAAAAUGAAACGUACAUCCUCUACAUUUCUCCAUAAAAUUUAAAGGGUUAAUUGCGCACUAGUUCCACAAACAUAGAUAGUAAAUUGUAAAUAUAUUCUUGUAAACUUCAACUUUCAUAAAUUAUUCCUACAAAAGUCAUAAUGUUUUCAGAUAUAUUGCUCUUAUUUGUUACAUUAGAAACUGUUAAAAAAUUGUUUAUAUUUUCAAUUUGCUAUCACAAAUAUAUCCCUCCAAAAAUUAUAACAGUAUAAUACAAAAGAGAUAAAAAUGUCAAAAAUUAUAAAAAUUAAUUAGGGUAAAGUAUUUAACCUAUGGUUAACUAAACUUUUCUAACGGAUUUUAACGACAGGAAUAUAUCUGAAAAUAUUAGGACUUUUGCAGGAAUAACUUAUAAAAUUUGAACUUUAUAGAAAUAUAAUUACAAUUCAUUAUGUUUGCGGGAAUCUGUAUGCAAUUAAUCCUUUUUUUUUUAUUUUUGAGAGAAAUGUCGCAUGCUACCCGCUUCGUUUAUUUCAUUUAGAAAUAAACUUAGCUGGAAAUGUGAAUCAACUAGGAUUCGAACUUGGGUCUCGGAUACCAACCAUCAAGCCCUUUUGCCACUUGCAAUUAAUUCAAAUUUAAAAGUCAAUAAAACAUAUUUACGCAUCCUCUUUCUCUAUACAUUUUUCCAUAGAAUUUAAAAGUCUUUACACUAAAAAAGUUAACUAAAUAUCUCUAUUGACGAAGAACUUGUAUUUAUAGACCACAGAAAACUAUAAUAAUAUACUGCUCUUAAGGUUUCAAAUAUUAUUAUUUUUUUUUAAUUUCAUCUUCUGAAUUUAAAUUUUAUUCUAAAUUUUAACUUCCCUUUUAUGAUUUUUUUUUUUUAUAUAGUUUGUUCUUGGCUUUAAUUUUGUUUCUGAACUUUCUUUGUAGCCGUAUAGACGAGACUUUUCCGAACGAUGGACCAAAAAGUAAGUUGAUUAUAACGCAAAUGAAAAUUCGCAAACUAGUGACGAAUAAAAGUAUCAGGAUGCAUGAAAAUCUCGUCAAGCUUUACGACUAGAUCUAUAAUUAACCAAUUGUAGAAUCAACAAACUUUCUAAAUGCAUACGAUGAAAUUAAACAACAAUUAAAUAGCUCAUAUAUGAAAAUGAACUUUUCCAACACUUAAAUAACCUACCAGUAUUAGACUCUUAUAUUCAUCAUUAUGGUGAAUUUUGAACAAGAUUAGUUAGGAGCACAAUAGUUAAAUAGAAUCAAAAUGUGCAAUAUCUAUGGAGAGAGAGUCCGGCUACAGUGCUAUUGAUAGCACCAAGCACUUAGUGCUAUCAAAUUUCUACCGUUAGAUUUAUCUCUUUCACCAUUUUUAUCCGUUAGAUUAUACUAUUCAACCAACCAUGCACCCACUCAACCCUAAGGGACCUCUAUCAUCAUAACCGUACAUUGCUUCAUCCAAGGGUCUAAAACUUAAUAGCAUCAAUGAGUUGGUGCUAUUAAUAAUAUUCCAGCCUAGUUCUAUAUGUAUAGUCCGGCUACAAUGCUAUUGAUAGCACCAAGCACUCGUACGAUCGUCUUCGUACUCAUAAGUCGUUUUCGAUGAUAGAGCUUUUGAAUUGACGAUCCAUACCGUUAAACAUUAUUUAGAGCAUUUAGAACUUCUAGAAAUCAAAUUUAAUAAUUUUUUGACAUCAUUUAUAUUAUAAUCAAAAGAUCUCAAAAUUGACAAAUUUGAACGGUCGGCAUGGGAUACUUGCUAGUUUAACGGUGUAAAAGAAUCGAAAUCGAUUGAAUUUUUGAUAAAAAAUUUUAUUUACUAUCUAGAUAAAGAUCAAUAACUCCGAUCUUAAAUUGAAGGAUCCAAUCAUUCAUUUUUAGAAUGUCGUUCGAUUUUGACCGUUCAUUUUAUGUCCGCUUGAUGGACUUUAUUAUAUUUUCAAAAAAUUACGAAAUUUAUUUUUUAGAAAUUUCUAAUACUCUAUAUCAUAUUUAACAGGGUGGAUCGUUGAUUCUGAACCUCCGUCAUCAAAAAUAAUUUAUGAGUAUAAAGGGCUUUAUACUCAUAAGAGUAUAGUAGCCCUACUAAAUCUAUAUAUAUUUAUGUGUGUGUGUGUGUGUGUGUAAAGGGGGUUGUUUUCUCGUGUUCUUCAAGGUCAAAAUUAUUUUUUGUGCUCUUUUAAGUAGGAUUCUCCAUUCAUUAAUUCUAGAUGUGGGCUUUAAAAGUGUGCUUUAUAAAUAUUUAGCAACUAAAGUUUGGAACCUGGAAUAUAACAAAAGCUCUUUAAGAAUAGAGAUUUAUAUUUGUUUGUAUUCGUAAUUUAUCAAGAUACAUUAUAUAUCUAGCUAGUUAAUAUAUAGCCAUGAUCUUUAGCACGUUAAUAAAUGAUACAUUCCCUGUUAUCUAUAUACCACAUGCAUAUUGUUUACUGCAUAAAACUCGAAUUUAAAAAAUAAUAAUAAGAAGGUCUUGCAGUUCUAGCUAGCUAGUUCAAUUCAACACUUUGAUUUGGUUACAUAAUUCGUGGAUCAUAUGCCUAAUAAAUUAAAUAUUUAUAUAUGAAUUACAAAAAAUUCCAUAUGUAAUCUUCAAUUUGUUAUUGCUUAUUUUUUUCCUAAUGCAGUUGAUUCUCUAUUUUAUCAUCCAUUACUUUACUUUCCAUAUUAGAUUAAGCUUGUAAUUUUAAUCCAACUAAAAGAGAGGGGGGAAAGGGGAAAAAAAAAAGAAUUAAUUAAGGAACAUUAUGUGAUCAUCUAAUUAAUAUUAAAAUGUGUGCAAGCUAGUUUUCAUAAAUAUAAAUAUAUAGAUAUUAAUUGUUGUCUAUUAACUGCAUGCAUGUGGUAACUUAAUUAUAAUUUCGAUUGAUUAUCAUGCACUUUAUUACUUGAAUAUAGCUGUUGUUACAAAUACUCUACAUAUAUUAAGUACUACUGCGUAAGUUUUGCAAGUUAAUCCCAAUAUACGAGUUUCACAGUACAUAAUGAUUGAUGAGGACACCUAGCUACAAUGUGUUGAUAUAUGUUGUUCAAUAAGAACCAUUAAAAUUACGCGUGAUAAACAAUUAAUAAGAUGCUGAAAUUAUUGUUGAUUAGGCAAUUUUCCUUUAAUUUGAAUUAUUUUCAUAAAUCAAGAAGCUCAAUAGUACAAGAAAAUGAUAUUCAAAAUCUAAUCUCAAAGUUGAAAGAACUAGAGGAAAAAGGGCAUCGAUAGCCAAGGGAUAUGAUUAAGUAUAUUUUUUGUGUACAAUUAUCAAUCUAAGGUCCUAAUUCACUGAGGAGAAAGGGAGUCAAUCACCCACUUACUGCUACUUUUACUACUCUCUUCAUCCUUGUUACUCGAAAAGGGGUUGUUCGCGGGCCAUUGAUACUUCAUAUUGUGUGUUUGGAAGUUCGUGGACAUGUCGAAGAUGCCCGAAGUGCUCGGAGAACUUGCGAAGCUAUUCAGAGUUGGUAGAUUGGGCGAAGAAUUCAAAAGAUAUGGGCUUAGAUAUGAAGAAUGUAUUUGGUUAGAGAAGCUUUCAGGAAUGAUAUUGGAUGUCGAAGACGAGUUCGCACCGGACAUUAACAUGUAAUUUGGUCCCGCGGAUGUGGUGGAAGCCAUGGCGGUCGCGCCUACCGGUAAGGGAUGGUUGUGCGUCCCCUCGUACGUCGUUAUGAGUAUCGACAUGUCCUCGAGGCAUCUUUGUACCUAUACAGCACCAGUGAAAAUGCUUAGGAACGAAAAAUUGGCGCAGUAAGGAAAAUUCAGAAGCAAUAUCAUUGAUUCAUAUAUACCUGUUUUCUGACCGGGCAUCCGGGUGCGACCGUGCAUCGGUAGUACGCUCGCGGACACGGGUUCCCUUUCGCGACCUUCUGACCGUAUUUUCUCCAUUGGCACCCAUCAUUCAUCUACAUAUUUCUCAUAGCAAAAGGAAAAUUGAGAACACAAUAAACACUUGGGAGCAUGAUGAAUUGGGCGAAUGAACUUACAGUAGGACCUUGGCACCUGGCUCUCACUGAAACCCUAGUUUUCCUGUUGGCCGGAUUGAUGCUUUGGCUCGUAAUCCCCGCCAAUUCGGCGGCGGUGGCGGCGGCUUGUAGUUUGUUGCUCUCUAGGGUUAACCAACUACUCGCGAGUUCCUUCAUGGACGAAUCCUUUUCAUGCGGUUCCUCAAAUGUUUGCAAGCUCAGCGACAACCCGAGCUCCUUCGCUUCCUUUGUGUCGCCCCCUCGGUAAUUAGAUAACAACAAUGGUUUUGCUUGCUCUUGAUGAUCACCCUCGAUGGUCUCACGAGCCCUCUUUGGCUCUCGGUUAUCGUCACCGCCGAGAGAAAGGAAUACUCGGGGCUCCUAUUCGAAAAAAAUAUGGAUCCAUAUUAAAAGCGAAGCAACGCAAACAAUUAUUACCAGAUCGUAAGUUGAGUGAAGCUAAUUUGGUUAGUUACUCUUUGUUGAUGAUGAUCAGCUUUUUGCACCGCCGCGAACUUCAUUUGCAGAUCGUAGUAAUCCUUCAUGGUGCGGUCGACGGCCUUCCGCAGCAGCUCGUUCUCUUCCUUCAUUCGAUCCAUCUCGGUUUGCAACAUGCACAACUAUAUAUACCAACAACAACAGCAACUCAAGGUCAAAUAAAUAAACAAAUAAAAGAGAAAGAGAGAGAGAGAGAGAGAAUUGGUAUGAAGAAUCUUAGUACGAUAUAGCUAAACCUCAUUAGAUACAAUAUUAUCAACCAUGGGCUUCUCUUGUUUUGCAUCUUGUCCCACCUCUCUCUUGGUUUCUUUAUCUCCCUCUUUAUUGUUUUCAUCUUCUCUUUUCUCUCCAUCUUCUUCGACUACGUUGUGGUCAUCGUCGUCGCUGCCUUCAUCAUUUUCAUCCGCUUUGAUCUCUUCUUCUUCUUCUUCUUCUUCAUGGUGUUCAUCAUCUCCUCUUCUUUUUUGUUCUUCCUCCAUCUUCAACGAGAGAUCUACUUGCAUUAUCUUGAUCUUCUCCCCUUUCUUCUUCUUUGUUGACAUGAUCUCCCUCUCUCUCUCUCUCUCUCUAUGUCUCUCUCUUCCUUUUGGGGUCUUAAUGGCGCCUCCGAGGCAUCCCCAAGUCAAUGUUCUCGCGUGUAAGACGUAUUAAAGGGGGUUACACAAAUUAACAUUAUAUUAUAUUAUAUAAUAUAAUAAUAAUAUGACAAUAUAAUAGAAAGAGAGAUGAGAGAAAUUAUUGCAUGCAACCAGUGCACCAUGCGCCAUGCACCACGUGCCGCGCCAUGUGUUAUAUUUGAUCACUUAUAAUAUAAAAUCAAAUUUUGAUUCAAUAGAUAUAUAUAAUUUAAACAUAAGCAGAAUGCUCUAGUUUAGCUUCGUUUCUGAUUUAAGGAAGCGACGUACACUAGUUUGGUGUUUGACAGAAAAGAAACAUAACAAAAGAUUCUAAUGGCAAACAAAAAAUAAAAUUUUAGUCCUAUAAAACAUAAGAUGUAAUUUGAAUGAUGUCGUUGGUUACAUAGUACUUCUUCUAAUAAUACUGAUUAAUUAAACAAUAUUUUAUCAAACCAAAUGCUAUGUACUCCAUCAUACAAUUAAUAGGGUCCGAACAUCAUGGAUUGCAUCCAUUCAAUUUUCUUUAAGACUUCGAUGCAGGGUGCAUGGGGGGUGCACCUGAUGCAUGCAAAAAAUUAAAAAGAGAGAGUGAGACGACUAGCUCACUUUUGUUAAUCUGUGUGUUUUAUAAUAAUAAUAAUAAUAAUAAUAAUAAUAAUAAUAAAUUAUUAUUAUUAAUUAAUUAUUAUUUUUGGUUCGAGAUGAAAGGUGAGUGCGCACGAAACUCCGAUCCGGGUGACAGGGACACCCAAGUCAAGUGGGCCUCUUGUUGGUCAUGUGACUCCGCCCCGCGCCUCCCACGCUCACCACUUCAUUUUAAUUUCCAAGGUUUUUCUUUUUUAAAAAAGAAAAUGUAUGGAAACCCUCAACUAUAAUCUAGUAUGAAAUAGAUUUUUUUGUACUCAUAAGUAUGAAAUAGAUUUUUUUUUUUAUACUCAUAAGUUUUUGGCUAUUAGAUAAAGAAAUGUACGGUUAGAAUGAUAAUGAUCCCGUGGGGUCCAGUGAAUAGUAGGUUGAAUAGUGUGAUCCGACGGAUGAAAAUGGUCAAAGGAAAAAGAUUUAACGGUCGAAAAUUUAUGAACAUUAAAAGGUUUAUACUUAUGAGAGUGUAGUAGCCGGACUCAUAUAUAGAAUAGGACUGUUAUACUCUUAUUAGUAUAGAUUUUUUUUUUGUAUUCAUAAGUUUUCGGCCGUUGGAUAAAGAAAUGUGCAGUUAAAAUGAUAAUGAUCCCGUGGAUUCGAGUGGGUGGUUGAUUGAAUAGUAUGAUCCAACGGAUGAAAAUUAUCAAAGGGGAUGAUCUAAUAGCCGAAAAUUUAUGAGUAUUGAAAGGUCUAUACUCAUGGGAGAGUAGUAGCCGGACUCUAUAUAGGUAGGGCUAUUAUACUUUUAUGAGUAUAGAUCAUUUUGUAUCCAUAAGUUUUCGGCCGUUAGAUGAAAGGAUUUGCAGUUGUGGCCCCCGGUUAGAAUGAUAGUGGCUCCCUAGGAUUGAGUUGGUUGGUUGAAUAGUAUGAUCGAACAGGUGGAAAUGAUCAAAGUGCUAGAUCUAACGGCCGAAAACUUAUGAGUACAAAAAAAUUUAUACUCACAAGAGUGUAGUAGUCGGACUGUAUACGGGUAGGGCUAUUAUAUACUCUAAUGACCUAUUUUCAUCCAACUAUCUUACAGCCUAAUAUAUAUGGUAAAAAAAAAGUAUGGAACUUAUCCCAACUACUAUGAGUGACCUAUUUUGAUCCAACUAUCUUACAAUCUAAUAUUUUAAUUUAUUUGAUUUGAGCCAUUUAAUGACUUCUAAAUCUUAAAAUUUGAAUACAUUGUUUAAUUUUAUGGACCUGAUUAGUUUACUUCAUUUAAUUUAAAUAACUACAAUUUCAUAAAAGUAAGUGGCAGGUUUAAAAUUUAUAACCGAAGAAUUAUCGAAUAACUUAUAUCAGACAAAUUGAAAAAUUAAGUAUCAAAAUCAAAGUUAUAAAAGGUUGGAUAGUUGAAUCAGCCCGAAUUAAAGUUUGGGUAGCUCUAUACAUUUUUAUUUAUAUACUUUGGCGAAAAUGUAUGGAACUUAAUUAACUUGGUCUGUUUUGAUUCAAUUAUUCAAUUUUAAGAUUGUAACUUGUGUACCCAAUCUAUUAGUUUAUUUGAUUUAAAAUAUUUGUUGGUUCCUCCAAAUCUAGGCCAAUAUUUUUUUAAUGAAAUUUUGGGUGAAUUACAUAUGCCAAAUAUGCUUAUCAAAAGCAAAAAGUAAAUGGGGCAUUGAAAUUUUGAAAUGUAAAGAUUAUUAAAUAGCCAUAAUCAAAUAUAUUAAAUGGGUAGAUUGCAAACCUAAAUUAUAGUUCGAUUAAAAUAAUUUAUAGUUAUGAUUUUUUUUUUGAGAAAUAAUUUAUAGUUAUGAUAAAUCCCAUUUUUUAUCCUUUUUUCUAUAUAUUGAGACCCUCUCUAUCUUUAUUUUUCUAGAAUUAAAUAAUUGCAGCCAAAUUACUAAAUUAAUUGAUAAUUUCAUCACAUUUUACAUUAUUAGAAUACUUUGUAGGUAAUAAAACUAGAUCAAUUAACUGCUAAAGGUAAUUAAGCAACAAUAGAUCUGAUAAAAACUUAUAUAAAAAUAAAAAAUCAAAGAGUCGAUUUCAAAAUAGCUUAUAAUUGAGUGGUCUUUAUAUACUUUUACAAUUUUGUUUUCUUUGCGGUCACCAGUGGGAUCUCAGGUCAACUCUUUGGAAUUUCUCGGCCUAUUAAUUAAGCUAAUACAUAUAUAAAAAAAUAUUAAAUAUAAAUACACAACCCAAAAGAGAAUGACUGCUAAUAAUAAUAGAGAUUAAAUUUGUUAAUCUCUAUUAUUAUCUUAUUAAUUAAAUUCUAAGCCCAACUGUUUCAUUCGUUUUUCUUUUAAUUUUUUUUUUAAAAAAUAAGCUAGAGCUCCAUUAAUUUAAGAUGGAUACAAAUUGAUUGGUCACCUCUGUUAUUUGGUUGUUAGGGUGGGGAACUCAUUGCCAUGAGAGUUGCAUUCUAAUUAAAAAUCUCUAAGUUAAAUAAUUUUAAAAAAGGUAGUUAAAUUUUGACAUUAGUAUUAAUAUAAAUAGUAAUUAUAAAUGUUGCAUUAAUUGAUUUGUGCUCCACAAAGUUUGGAUGGAACGAUUACAUGUUUUAAAUGGUUGAUUGAUAAAAAAUAAUUAUAGUUGAUUAGCUUAAUUAUGAUAUAUCUGAUCAAAUAAUAGAUAAUAACUUGUUUUUAAAAAAUUAGAAACAAAUAAAAUUUAUUUUUAUUUUUUGUUGCCAAAUAAAUAUUUUGGAUGAAAACAUUAUGAAAAAUCCACUUUUCACUCUUACACCUUUUAAAUAUACAAAAUUCUGUUUAGAAUAAUAAAAAAUAGAUACAGUACCAAGCGAGGCUUUAUAUUAUUAUUUUUAUUAAUUUGCUCAGAAUCUUAUUGCACCUACUUGCCCAAGUAAAUAAUCUAAGUCUUCGUUUACUUUUUUUUUUUUUUAACAAAACAAAAAUGAAGCUAAACCAAUCACAAAUGAGAGGGCCAUUUGGUUGACUUGCCAUGCACAGCGGUUGAAGGCUACUGGUUUGGAACUACGACGGCAAUCCUGAAUCAUCAAACCAAAUUAAUGACUAUUUGUGUAAAUUCGCAGCAUAUAAAAAAUUAAACUACUGACCUCUGACUCCGAUAUCACUUAUCGGAUCGUUGACGCUAAUCAUUAAUCGAACUCGUGAUCUCUGAUUCUGAUAUCAUUUGUCAGAUCGCUGGCGCUAACUAUUAAUUUCAAAAGUUCGAACAGUUAGAAAUAUGCAACCAAAUCAUUCAAAAUAUACAGAUGCAACGCUUCGACUCGGCCCAACCAGCCUCACGCCACUUCAAACGUGACUCAACCCAAUCCACCCUCCCGUCAUUUCGAACGUGACUUGAUUUAACUUGACCUGCUGUUGCAGAACAAAAUGCAAACACUUAUCUGUUAGCUUAAAUGGGCCAGCAUCCUGCUCUAUAGCGUAAGGCCAUGUUGAGCCGAGUCAUGUUCGAAAUGGCGUGAGCUUGGGUGGGCCAGCCAUGUUCGAAGUGGCGUGAAGCUGGUUAGGUCGAGUCACAAUCAAGACAUGUGGAUACUGUAUCUGUAUGUUUUAAGUAAAUUGAUUGUGUAUUUUUAACCGCUCGAAUUUUUGGGAUAAAUAAUUAGCGCCAACGAUCCGACAUUAUCCUCUCUUAUAGCCAUUAAACACAGUCAACUGGUGUUUAGACUUCAUAGAAUAACAGCUAAGCUGUCACUUGGGGGGUGGCCAAGGAAGUGGAUUUUGAGAAAUUUAAGUUAAAUAAAUAAAUAAUUUGGUAUCUUCUCGGAACAGUGAAGAGCUCAGUACGAAAUCCCAAGACAUGGCUUUGGGAUUGGCCCCUGUGGACUUUACUAAAUAAUAAUAGCAGGAGACCUGUACCUACCAUCCUAUUGGUCUAUUUUUUAAUUAUACUUACAUUUCAAUUACAAUAUUAAUGAAUGAGUGAUAUGUUAUAUUUAUAAGUAAAUUUUAUAGCACUUUAUAAAUUAGUAUGUGUGGUGGUAUUUAAUUGGUGGAGCAAUCUAAAUUAUAAGAAGAUAAACAUGACUUGUAUUUUCAAGAUGAUUAAACUUCAACCGUUGAGCUGUGCAAUUUAUAAGCUGUUGUGAAAUAUGUUCAUCAAUUCAAAUCGAACGCUUUAAAGUGAUUUAUCAUUUUAUUUUACCGUUAAUUGUGUAUAGACUCUAUGAUCGGAUAACAUUACUUUUCAGUAUUACUCUUUUUUAUUCUUAUAUUAGAAGCAGAUCACAUUAACUGCAUUGAGAAUAUUCGAGUUCUAUUUGUUCUCGCAAGUGAUAACACGUCACUAUAAUUUCUCUGAUUUCAUCAGUAAAUAAGAAGGCAAAUUUGUAUAUACUUUUGUCUUAACUUCCUUUGAUCCAAUAGAAUUAGACGGUCUUCGAUAUACCAAAUAAACUCUAAGCUGUUUUUGACACAAAACGUUGUAACGACACAUUCAUUACACCAUUUGUACCCGAUCUUUAUCCAAUUUUUACAUUUCACAAUUGGUUUCUUAAUGUUCAAUUAAGAAGAAAAAAAAAUUUAACAUGUUCUGACAAGGUUUAAUGGUGAAAGAACAAAAAUAAUUCAGUAUUGAUGUGAUAUCAGAAGAGAUCUGAUGAAGUAAUGUGCAAAUAUUAAGGAUCCAAUUACAAAAAAAGAAAAGUUUAGUGAUUAAUGGUGUAAUUAAUCUUAUAAAGAAACCACCCACCAUCCACAAGGACAAUUAGAUUAGCCCUUACUUGGGAGCACCUUAUACUUAUUUUAAUGAGCCUAUUUAUAGUAUCUCCUACACUGGCACGAAUAUUAAUGUAACAGAAGCCAAUCAGUGUUCUUUCGAGGUGCUUUUUUAUUGGUAUUUUUCGAAAUGGCUCUGAAUCCUAUAGAAAAAAAAAAAAGAGAAAAAAACAAAGUUCAAUUUGAGAGGGAGUUUAUAAACUCUCUUCUCGGGGAGAUGGAAUUUGUGGGUUUUAUUUCGGAUUUUGGAUCCUGUUAUGCUAAUUAUAACUCCCACGAGCUAAGGAAUGAGAGUGUUGAGUAUUUAAAUGUAGGAUUAAUAGUAAAUUCGCUUCAAGGAGUUUGACCCGGAAUUUAAUUUUGUCUUCAAGAGUUUCUUUUUGGGGGUGACCAUAAUUUUAAUUUCAUUAUCGAGAGGGCUUUAAUCUCAGUCCAAAAACUGGUUUUGGUAUCAGUUUCAUUAGUUGUCGAAAUUUCAACACAAACGAGGAUUAGAAAUUAAGUUUGAUGAUUGCGACUACAUAGAAUUUCUUUAGACGGCGAAUAAACUUUAGAAUUAAAAGAUUCAAACCAUAAAAAAUCAUGGAUUGAGUAGUGAGAAUAAAAUUUGAUCAAAACGACUCCAACGAAGGUAUUCGGAUUGGCGGGGUAGCGAUUGACGCACUCCAAAUACUCACCGAUAAGACCUAAGUCUAAAGAAACUAAUCAGGAAAUAAAAGAGACGCGCCAAAAACUCGAAACCACAUUGAAGAUGAGGUUGAAAUCCGAAAACUCGGGAGCCAAUUAAUAUUUUGAAUUUCCGAAUUCAAACACGGAGAUUAUUCGCAAGCUCGGGAGGAAUUCUCGAAAACUUAAAAGUAAGGGAGGAAAAUAGUUGAGAUGAUUAACUUAACUUGUGAUUUACUACUAGAAUAAGAAGGGCUAAUUGGACCUUAUCGGUUCGAUAAUCGUCAGAUUUCGAGAAUCGAUGCAGAUUAGUUAUGUUAUCUAGGAGGUAACCCACUUGAUCUAUCCAUAAUGCAUUUAAUUUAAUAGGGUUUAGGGUGGUUUGACUCUUGUUUAACCCAUCAUUGAGGGAUCAAACCUCUAAUAUAUCUAUUUAAAGAUGAACCUGACGUGAUAUGGCAUUAAAUCCCACGUUACAUUAUGUUGUAACCAGCACAUUAACCCAUGUAAUAAUUUACAAAUAAGGGGGAAUCAUUGACUCAUUAGCCAAGUAAGGAAUAUGCUUAACUGGUAUAGUGGGAGCUAUUUUUAUCAUGCACAGGUAACUAAAAUGUAAUCAAAUAGCAUAGUUAGCUAAGGAUUUGAUAUUUGAUAUCUGAGAUUCCAAAUUCGAAAUCUAAUUUGCUACAUUUCUUUCUAGUCAAACUAACAGGCCAGAGAUGCCUAGGUUUCCAGAAGGCGUAACUCUCUCAUCUGACGUCCAUUUCGACAGGCCAAGUGGUUUGAAAAUGUAGUGCCUAACAGUCUUUUGCUUAAGUUUCAAGCUCAAGUACCAAUUUUCUUCUUCUUCGACAAGUUCCUUUCAUCUUAUCGGAAGUAUAUGGUAAUUUACUAUUCAGACAAUACCUCAGCAAAUUCAGUCCAAGUUACCGACUUAUUAGUUGGGAUGAUCGUUUCUGUGGUCGAAUCUGACCUGACCCAGUUCAUCAGAUUGUCUCAAUUUUUGAUCUAUGAAAAUUCUGGCUCGACUCAAAUUGACCUAAGCAUGAUCUGGUUAUUUUUGACCUGGCCCUCACUUAGAGAAACAUGUAGAACAUUUUUGACCGUUGUACUUUUGGGCCUGGAAAAAGUAAACCGACUCCAAAACAGACUCAGCCAUACUCUCUAGUUUCUUCUAGAUCUCUUCCGAACUAGAUCAGACUAGUUUUAAUAUCGAUGCUACAUAAAAAAAAAUUAUUUUUUACAGAUAAUUUGUUUCAUGAUUUGUAAUAUUUUAAGAUUCCGCCGAUCUCCGUCUACUUCUCCUAGUCUUUUCUCUCUGGUUGAAGUGGCGUCCGACCCAUUAUGAUUGCUCUUUUUUUUGUUUAUUUCUAUAUGACUAUGUAAUUUGAUCGGGCACUGGCUCUACUUCUUUUCUUUUUCUCUUCUUCGGUCAUGUAUCUGGUUUCAAAUAGGAUAUAUAUUCCUGUUUAAUUAAAAAACAAAAAGAUUCCUUCGAUCUCUGUGUCUGCGUGAUAUGGUUCUUUUCUUUAUAACUUAUCCAAUCGGUGGAAUCGAAAAACCAUAGGUUCGAAUCAGUAAUCCAUUAGCAACUGGUUAGGCUCAAAUCACUGGCCCAUUACGUAUUUGUCUAAAUUUUAUUUACCUAUUGAUUUUGUAAGAGUUGUUAUGUAAAUUUGGAAUGUAAAUAGAAUAAGGGAGAAUAACAUAAGAAGUUUGGUAAGUGUAGGAAGCAAUAUGUUUAUAUGUAAAAUCAAGAACUUAUAAUUCAUCGGAAGAACAUUUUCUUUUUAAUCUUCAGUAGCUUAAUCUUUUAGGAAAAAAAAAAAUCCUUUUUAUAUUAUAGAGGAGGUCACGAGUUCAAAUUCUACCAUGUAUCUAAAAAUGAAAAAAGUUGUUUUCCUGUAAUGUAAAGGUGUCAACGAGCCAAACACGAGCGAACUGGGGUCGGCUAGCGCUCGGCUCAUUUAUAAAAAAAGUCGAAUACGAGUUGAUUCGUCAAAAUAUCGAGCCGAAAAAUUCAGUUCGUAUUCAUUUCGUUUAUUAACGAGCCGAACACGAACUCGUCAAUGAACAAUAAGUUAAAAAAAUUAAAAAUGAUAUAUAUAGCAGAACUAGGCUGGAAUAUUAUCAAUAGCACCAAACUAUUGAUGCUAUUAAUUUUUUAAUCCUUAAAUUGAGAAAUGUGUGGUUAGGAUGAUAUGGGCUCUCUAGGAUUGAGUGAGGGGGUUGGUUGAAUAGUAUAAUUUAACGGGUAAAAAUAAUUAAAGAGUUAAAACUAAUGGUGGAAAACUCGAUAGCACCAAAUUCUUGGUGCUAUCGAUAGUAUUUCAGCCGGACUCUAUAUAGCAAAUAAAUCUUUUAAAUCUUACUUAUUAGAUUUUGAUAUAAGUGCUGAAGCUUUACAUAUAAAUGAGUUUUUUAUAAUUGAGUUGAAUUUUAUAUUUAGUUUAUGCUAAAAAUCAAAUAAUAAAAAUUUACAUUAUAUAUAUAAUUAUUUAUUUAUAUGUAUAUAUAUAUAAUAUAUAAAUUAUAUAAAUAUAAAAAAUAUCUAUUUGAGCUGUUAUCGAGUCGAAUACGAGCGCGCUGACCCCAGCUUAUGUUCGGCUCGUUUAUUAAAUGAUCUAAAAAAUUCGGUUUGUGUUCGGCUCGUUUAGUAAACGAGUUGAAAAAUUUAGCUCAUGUUCGGCUCGUUUACUAAACGAGCGAUUCGAUCUCGAGCUCACUUCGAACCGAACACGAGCUGGCUUACGAACAGCAAGCUAGAUUGCCACCUCUAGUUUCAUGCUAUCCACUAAUUUUAGUUAAAAUUUAUUAUUUUGACAAAUAAUAUCAUUUGCCCAAUACUAAGGCUCUGUGUACAAUUGAGGAUACAAUAUACUAUGUAAUAAUUUCUCAAAAAAAAAUAUACUAUGUAAUGCGAGAAUUUAUUUAAAAAAAUUUGUGUGUUAAAUCCUGUGUGCAAGAAUUUUAAAAAAGAAUUCCGUGUGUUUAUAAUACAAAUAAUAGAAAUUUGUAAUACAAGCACACACACAUACACGAGCUAUAUCGAACCAAGUAUGAGAGCUGGUUCUAGCCCACGUUCGGCUAGUAAAAAAUUUGAGCUGAACAAUUUAGCCCGUGUGUUAAAUGAGCACUCGAGCUCGAGCACCUGUCGAGCCGAAUACGAGCCGGCUCCCGAGCAACGAGCUGGAUUGUCAACCCUAAUGGUAUCAGACAAAAUAAAGUUAGGAUGAAAGUAUAAAAAAAUUAUGUUUUUUCAUUCUUCGUUGUGAGUUGCAACUUGUGACUGCAAAAUAAUAUAGUGUAUGGACCCAUAUUUGUUUUGGGCCCACAAUUCUCCCCGGUCCAUUAUAAGCAAUUGGGCCAUUUGUGUGACAAACCAUGUGGGCCAAAUUGCAAAACCAAGGCCCAAACGCCACGCCCCACGUUUCAAGCGUCUCCGAAUCCACCCGUCCAUUCCCAUCCAAACGAUCGCCUUCAACGGCCGAGAUCGCCUCCGAGGUGCGCUAGUUUUCUUCUGGAGGGAGUUAUGCGCUCGUACAAUUUAACGAGCCUACACUUUCCCCCACAGGGCUUUUCCAAAGGCCAUAAAAAUUAAAAAAGCAAAAAAAAAAGAAAGAAGAAAAAACAGCAAAGAUAGAGAAAUAUAGAGAGAGAGAGAGAGAGAGAGCCCACACAGCAAAUCUUUGAGCAGAGCCCCUUCCUCCUCCUCUUUCCGUUUAAAGAUGUUAUUCGGUUUUUAAUUCGAAUAAUUUCCUCCUUAUUCCUCGUCCUAGUACUCCCACCGUUACGCCAUAUAUAUAAAUAAAAAAUAUAUAAUAUUUACAUAUAUCUUUUGCUUUGCUUAAUACAUAAGAGAGAAAUAUUAGAGACAACGCCAAAGAUAAAUCCCUUAUUCUCGCGCCGCCGCGGUUUCCCGUAUAAAUCCCCGGAAUAAGAAGCGAGGAUAACUCCGUAGAAUAGAGAGUCUUAUAUUCUUAUUAUUCCGACCAUCUCUUCCUUAUAUAGAUUUAUUGAUUAGAGAAGUUUUUUUUUUUUAAUUUUCUUUUUUUGUUUUUCUAAUUUCUAAAACGAUACCGCUCCUAACACGAAGCGGAUACGAGGUUUUAUUCUAGAGGUUUCCUUCGCUAGGGUUUUCUGAUUAGGGUUUCGCGUUUUCGCUCGCGUCGUCGUCUUCUCCUUCCUCGCUCUGCGCCUCCGUCGUGUUUGCUUGUUAUUGUGCGGGAUUCUCCUCUCCUGCGGAAUCGUUGAGGAAUUGGGGGAUUUUGAGGGGGGGUUCUUGGGCUUUUUACUCUUCUUGGUCCGCGUGGCCAACAAUGGAUGCGUAGAGAGGUUGAAUUGAUCGUCUGAUUGGUGGAGGAGAAUACCUAAUUGAUCUUUUUGGGGGAAUUUUGGUGCAUUAUAUAGGGUUCCUUGCGGGAGAGUAGGAAUUGGAGCUAUUGCAUUUGCGAGCCCCUCGGGGGCGGUUCGAUCCCUGCUUCGGGGAUCGCCUUGUGAUGAUUUUCGCGCGCUUCGUCCUUGGAUUGUUGCUUUUGUACAGGAAAUAGUAUUCGGGGUUGAUUAGGUUAUUAUAGAGGGAGAUUAGUUUCGAGGAGGAGCGAGGAACAGUAGUUGUACCUAGAUGGUGAUCUCUGUUCAUUAUGGAGAAAACUGAACUGGCAUUCAAGCCAGAGUGGCUAAAAUCGUCGAAUGCGAGUGCGGCUAACAAUGCCUCUGCAAACCAUCAUUCCACUAUUUCCUCACAUUCAGGUAUGAUUUCCGUUUCUCGCACUCGUAUGUUAAUUUUCCUCAGUGUUGCUAGUCUUAUACUUAUCUUGGUCGUAUAUAGUUUAAAGUAGAGCUUUUUAUUCUUGUAGAUGAACAUGCUGUAGCAAACUCCUCUAGGAACAGGUUGUCGGUAUUUGACCGGGAAAGAAAUUCGUCAUCCUCCUCUCGGAGGAGUUCAAGCUCGAACUUUUCUAGGAGUCUUGAUAAAGAUACAUCAGGAAAAUCACGUGCUUACAGUAGUUUUGGUAGGAGUAGUCGAGAAAGAGAACGGAAUAAAGAUAGAGAAAGUAGGCCAGUUUUGGUCGACAAUGGGUAUCAUGACCGUUCCAAUUCAUUCAUCACAAGUAGGUCUGAAAGGGAGAGAUCUUCAAGCUCUAUGGCAGCAGGGAGGCCAGUUGAUUCAUUGUAUAAUGGAUUAGGACAAAACUCGGCAAAUGGUGUACAAUCUGGGGGGAAUAUAACUGGGGCCCGCUCCUUCGAGAAGGAUUUUCCGUCCCUUGGAACUAAGGAGAAGAAUGGGUGUCCAGAUGUAGUGGGCAGGGUUCCUUCGCCUGGCAUUAGCGAUGCUAUUAGAAAGAUUUAUUCAGGUAAUGGAGCCCUAGCUGCGGCUGAGAACUGGAAUUCUGUGUUGGUGAACACACCGCAAGCUUCUCCGGACAGUCAGGCUCCUGCAAUCUUGAGCACUCCAACGGGAUUAAAUAUGGCUGAAACAGUGGCACAAGCUCCAUUACGAGAUCGAACUGCGCCCCAGGUAGUCUUUUGAUUGUAGUAUACUGCCUUCUUUCUUGUUUCUGAGUUACUUAUGCAGUCUCAUUUGCUUUUUGUUUGUUCAUGCCGUACUGUUGUUCUUUUCAGUUAACUAUUGAUACCCAGAGGAUUGAUGAACUGACGCUUAAACAAUGCAAGCAGUUAAUACCUGUAACACCUUCGACACCUAAAAGUUUGGUAGGUUCCUUAUCUUCUGUACAUUUGAGAUAAUUUCCUCCUAUGAUUCUUUUAUUAUCCUCUUUUGAUUGUUAUUAUGCAUCUGUUUCUUAAGUUUAAACAAUAUUUCCACAUUGUUUUUUUGUAGAGAAUUUCUAUUAGAUUAAUUGAUGACUUCAUAUAACUUCUUUUCGUGGACAUUUACAAAUCAUAAAUUUUGCAUAAAAUCUUCCGUGAAUGUCCACUAAAUUGUUGAGCUAAGAAUGUUAUGCGUGUUUGUUUUCUUGCUGAUAAAAUGAUUCUUAGAAGUUUUUGCCUUCUACUCAUUAAUUAGACUGAUAGCAUGAUGAAAGUUGACAUUUAGAUUGACCACAGUAAGAGAUCUUUAGGUAACCAGGCUGGAGCUUAUAUAGAACUUGACUAGACCCCAAAUAAGCACUGAUUACUUUUUUCAGCUAAGUUCUCCUUGUGCCUUUCUGCAGCAGUCGAAGGAGAAAAUUUGAGUUGGUAAUUGUUCUCUUGAGACUUAAAAGCUCAUUUCAGCUUCUUGCCAAAGCAUAAUGUUUAGAUUAUUAUUAUUAUUAUUCGGUUGCCAAUUGUCAACAGUUACUUUUUGGAGUAGAGAAGUUGCUAGAGAGGCUAAGCUAAAAAGACACUAAAUUAUUCAACAUGAUGGCAACUAAAACACUUUAUUGAUGAUAGCAAACUGUUAGGUUCAUUGAUUUAAAGGAUCAUUCACACAAAAAAAGGAAGUCUCAAACUCUAAUUUCUUAUCAUUAAACAAAAUUGGCAGUUGACUAUACAUUAUCUAUGGUCUGUAUGCAAGUUGCUUAUCUGUCCGUAUUGUGAAAAUGCUCCUAGUGCCUAUGCUUGGAGGCGGAUGAGUCGAAAAAAUAGUUAUAUAACAUGGAUAGGGAUUCUAGUUGCAAUUUAGAACAAUAGCCAUGAAACUUACACAAUUAGGUUUUGUAGUUGAUCAUCAAUUAGUCAUGCAUUAGCGAGGCAGAGCACGAGCAGUGGGAGUUACAUAAUUGGAUCUCUAUAGCAUCUUUGCAAUUUAUCGUGUGUUAAGAAGAAUUUAGACGAAAAACAGUGAUUGGUGCAUUGUGUAUAGAUUAUGCACAGAACUCAUAUUGAUGGUUCAAAGAUUGUUCCUGCCUCAACAGUGGCUCUUAACAUUUUUGUUUGCCAAGCAUUCUACUAUAUAUGGUCGCAGAUAUCAGAAGAAGCAGGGCCAAAUAAACAUUUACAAGGAUUUAAAGCUAUUGUAGUGGCCACAUGCGUACAGAGUAUUUUGGACUUGUGUUGUACAUACAAAACAAGAAAUGAACAAACAGUACAGGUACUUGUGUGUGUCAUUGUACGUACGUUGUGCCUUGUAGUGGGUAGAGCAUAAUGUACGGAACAUGCUGUGUGCUGAUCACAAUUAGCACAUGUUCUCCAGGCGGCGGUUUAAACCUUAGUAGAGGUUUAUAGGUACUGAUUUUUUUUUUGGCUAGGAGCAGUGAAAUGGCCGGAGCCCCACUAAAUGCUAAACAAUCUACCAAUGCUGCAAGUUCAGUUGGUGCAUGAUUUGUUGUAUCGAAAUCUCUCUAUUUGUCUGUUGUCUUUUCAGUAACUGAGUGAGGACGUCUUUACCUUUGUAUCCACCUAAUUAGCUUGGCGUAAAUAAGUACGACCAAGUCAUUUUUAGGGAGCUGACUGAAUCUGGUAUUUACGUUUAAAAGAUUGGACUCACGCCAUCAUCAUGUACUGGUUCCACCAUGGUAUAUGACUGAGUUAAGCAUUGGAUGUGGGUUGAGAUCCUCAUGAUAAUUAUUUUCUUUUUCGAUUGUCAUUUCGAGUGCAAUAAGCACUGGCCAAUCAUAAGCCUUGGUUUAAGUCAUAACCAUCAUCCUUAUCCAUGUUAUUUCUCGGUAUAGAGUGCAACCCAAAGAUAAGAAGGUUCAAAAAAGUGAUGGUUGACUGUUACAACCAUCUAACUGAUAUUAAUCCUCUAAGUAGGAGUCCAUUUUCUUGCCGUAGCAAAAUCAGACAAGGGAGGAGCUUGUCAAUGUAUUUGGCGAUGAGCAACUGGCAAACUUGGUUGCAGUUGAAACUCAUGCAACUCAACAUUUCUAAGUUCUUUAAACAUGGUAUAGAAAAGGAUAAGAUAAUAACAAUUUAUCUGGGGAUUUGUCUUCAUUUCAAGUGUAGGUUAGAUUAGCUGAAAAUCUAAAUGCAAAUAUAAAAGUUGAAUUGAAGAAUAGCCUACAGAAUGUUAGAAUCCCUACUUCGAAUUCCCUACUUUACAUUCAAUUUUCAUUGCGUGCGACUUAGGUGUUUCUUUUGUGACAUAGUUUCUGUGAACCCAUUGAAAACUUGAGUUGAAAGUUGGGAACUCAAUUAUUUUGUUUUAACAGCACUUGUUGUUAGGGAGUCUGCUUAUUGAAUUUUUGGUUCUGUAGGCUGCAGGCUGUGGAAGUUACCUGGUAACUUAUGUUUUUGAUCCACCGUUACCUUCUGGCAUCCUUUCUUAUUUUAGCUGAUAAAAAGAAAAUUUUUUAUAUAUAUUCUAAAAUAUGUUUAAGCUGGAUUAUGAAGUUUAAUAACUUAGUCCUGUGGAAGCAGAUACAGAUAAUUGAAUCUUUUUUUAAGUACCUGUAUUUUGGAUUUUACUUUUUUGUUCCAUGUUUCAACUAAAUCUUAACUUGAUCAUGUACUAUUAUUGGUAGAAAGCUCAUUAGUUGUUGAAUAGUUGUAAUUAGUGCAAACUGGGAAAAGUUUCUUCUUGAUUUGCUACUUCAUCAUGUUCUUAAUCUUUUUUUCUUUUUCUUUUUCUUUUUGUGAAGAGAAAAUGAUUUAUUUACUAUAAUCUUUCUAAUGAAGCUUCUUGAACAUGGCUCAGUUGUCAAGCUCUUCGGAAAAGUUGAAGAACAAAGGAGCAAGAGGUGGAGAGUCAAGUGGCGCUCCUAAAAUUGGGCGGCAGUUAUCACCUCCUCCUCUCAACCCUGCCCUCCUGCAUGUUAGGUCUGAUACUACAAAGCCGUCCCAAAUUGGGACUUUUCAAGUCCUCAACCGAGAUAAGAAUAAUGAUACCUCCCUUUCAACCAAAGAUGGGCCAACUGUUAGCAAAGUUGUGAAUGUCAGUAGUCUUUCUCCGUCCGCUUCCCAUCUCUCGCUGAAGAGUCCCACUAACCAAAAACCUAAGGUUGAAAGCAAGAAUGAGAAGAGAUUGCAUUCUCAAGCGAAGGAUAGGCAUGAAUUCUUCAAUUUCAUACGCAAUAAAUCACUGAAUAGUUCGAGUGCUACUCCGGAACAAGGCCCUGUUUCACCCUCAUCCAGUGUAGUGGAUUCGAGCGACCAGAGUGAAUUUGGUGUUACUAAUGAAAAGGAGGGCAUCUUGUCCGAUUCGGAGUUGAAGUGCUCAGAGAAUGGGAAUUGUGUUAAAGAAGAUAAAGAGGCUUGUGAGGAAUUCGAGAGUCCACUACCUGACAACGAAGAAGUUUCGGAACCUGUUGACCCAGAGGAAGAAGCCUUCCUGCGGUCACUUGGCUGGGAUGAGAAUGCAGUGGUGGAUGCCCUGACAAAGGAAGAGAUUGAUGCUUUUAAUAUGAUGGUAAUUAAUUUCUGUGUUAGGGCCUGUUUGUGUUAUAAAAUUAGAUCCAUCCAAAGAAGCAGAAAACAAUUUUUGUUAAUUUUCUUGACAAGUCCCAUUGCAGCAGAAGCAAAAGCAGAAGCAAAAGCUGAAGCUUCUGCUUUUAAGGUUUAAAAACUCAUUUCGACUUUGUGUCUAAAUAAAGCUUCAAACUCUUUGUCUGCAAAGAGCUUGGUUUCUAGAAGCUUCUGCUUUCUGAAGCACAGGAGCUUCUCCAGAAUUGAGGCUGAAACAGGCAUCUGGCUGAUUUACUGAGUAAACUAUUUCGCUGUACUACUACUAUGUUUGCAUGACUAUCAUUUUUCAUCCUUUGUACAGUACAAGGAGCGGAAGCAAUCCUCGAAGCUGCUCCAGAUGAAGAUUUGAUCAUCGAAGGAAGCGACGGCGGGAACUUUGGCAGGCAAUAUAAUUUGAUUUUGACGACACUGUUGAUUGAGCACAUCUGUUUCUGAACCUGGAGCAUGAGUUUUUGCUUUAUCUUCUCUGUUUUCAGGGCUUAGAAAUCAUUUAGUUUGACUAGGCAAGUGUUCUUCGGUCGAGAACAGAAGUGAUUUAACAUUCUUGCUAAGCUGAAAGAAAAGAAAAAGUUUGAGUUCUUUUUUUUUUUUCUUUUUUCUUUUCUCCCUCUCUCUCUCUCUCUCUCUCUCUCUCUCUCUCUUCUCCAGAGGAAUGUGAAAUUCAAAUUAGUUACAAGUUUUCCGGGCCAUAGGCCGUUGGUCUAAGAAAUUGUGUUCUCUGGGAAAUCUGGGUGUUUCUUUUCCUUUUUUCAUAACCAUCCGGGAUUAAUCCUCGAUUGAUCCUACCGACCCGCUUCGGUUCAUGACGACAGUUUUAAGAUAUAAAAAAGAUUGGAAGCCAAGUUGUACAAUUUUCGAUUGUGUCAGCAUGUAUGUGCCAACUGGAAAGUUGAAUUUGAUAACAACCUAUUAUGGUUUGGAUCACGUCCACUUCAGAGUGGGGAAUUGCAUUACAUUUACGUACAAUAUCUGCCUUUUGAAGUCCCUACACAAAUCAAAAAAAGAAAAGAAAAGAAAGAAUAUGCUAGACAUACACUCUCAUCUUAAAAUUCACGCACCCUUGAAUUUCUAAUAUUAAAAAAAAUGAUAAAAGAGUGAAAGAUUUAUACUCCAAAAUAAAAUGUAAAAAUAGUGUUGUUCAAAAAAAGAAAAAAAUCUUUACUUCAGAAGUUACGAAACGAAUCCUGCAUCUGCAAGAUACUUCAGAGAAUUCGCCUUAAAAAAAAAAAAAAAAAAAAAAAAAAAAAAAAAAAGGGUGUUCCCUUUCUUGGGCCGAUGGAUCUAUAAGGGCCCAAGGCCCAAAUUCCAAACUCUUUGAAGCGACGUGUUCUCUCUCUCGUAACACCCAACAUAGUGCGGCGUCUUCCGAAUUUCAUUUCGAAAAUAAGAAACCGCACCUAAAAUUCGGGGGCUCGUCGCUGAGCGGGAAAAUAAGAAACCAAAUCCAAUCCCCAGCAGAUCCCGCAUCCGGCCGAAUCGGAGCGAUGCGCGGCGUCGGCGGUCGGCGGCGCGUCCCGAGGGCUUCGGCUGCUCCCGCUCCGGCGGACGGCGGCCCGUCCCUCGACUUCGAGGUCGGCGGCGCCGUCGGGCGGCGCGACUCGGAUGCGAGCAGCCUCUGCAGCAGCCGGCCCUCCUUCUCAUCCGCGGCGGCCGCCAACCCUCCUCUGCUGUCGGACCGCUCGUCGCAGUCCGCCGCCCUCCGUGCCGUGAACUCGUACCUGUCCUCCCAGUCCGCCCCCUUCUCCCUCCGGCCGCCUCUCCCCUCCGCCCGCGACAUCUCCGACGNNNNNNNNNNNNNCCCGCCUCGACUUCCCCCUCCCCGACGCCCCCGGCAGCAGCAGGGCCCUCGACGACGACGUCCUCCUCCUCCUCCGCCUCCUCGGCUGCCCCUUCAAGCUCAGCCGCUCCGCCCUCAAGGCCCCCGGCACCCCCCACUCCUGGCCCCCUCUCCUCUCCGCCCUCCUCUGGCUCACCCAGCUCGCCCGCCUCUCCGACCACCUCUCCCAAACCCCCAACAACUAUGCUCCCUCCUCCUCCUCCUCCUCCUCCUCCUCCCCCAACAACUUCCUCCUCUUCGUCGCCCACAGCUACUCCCUCUUCCUCCUCGGCGACGACGACGCCGCCGCCGACCUCGACGACGAGUACAGGGCCAAGACCCGCGCCCACGUCGCCGCCGCCGCCGCCGCCGCCAACGCCCUCGAGCGCGAGGCCGCCGACCUCGACGCCAGGCUGCGCGCUCUCUCCGCCGGCCCCUCCCGCCGCCAGGCCGCCGAGGCCGAGCGCGCCCUGCUCGCCGAGGACGCCGAGAAGUUCCGCGCCGUCGUCGACAGCUGGGGCGGCAAGGUCGCCGCGCUGGAGGCCGCGCUGGCCGACUGGGAGAAGGAGCUUGAGGCCAAGGAGAGGGAGGGCGGGAGGAUCGCCGGGGAGAACGCCGAGCUCAGGCGGCGCGUCGACGCGCAGGCAGUGAACGUGCGCGACGUGGAGCGGAUGCGGCGGGAGCUGCAGGCCGUCGAGCAGGACGUCGCGGAGGCCGAGAGCAGGAGGAACGCGUUGGAGGAGAAGGCGUGGGAGCUCGAGGCGAGCUCGGCACGCAAGAUGGGCGAGCUCGAGGUUCUCGCCGAGGAGUGCAAUCAGGCGCUCAGAAAGUAAAAUGCUCUGCUUCGAUUCUUCUCUUCGUAAAAGUUCUUAUUUUUGUGCAUUAUGCAUAGCUUCGAUCGACACUACUUGCCUUGCGUAAAUUCGUUCUAUGCAAUGAUUAUUAGAAAAACAAGAAAUAAUUGGAAAACAAAAAUAGCUUUUAGUACCCUAAUUAGUAUCAACUUUGUUUUGCCUUCCAAAACUUUAGCGCUCAACUCUUUGUACAAUUUGACGACAAAGCUGUGUCAUUGAAAGAAGAAGAUUGGGGUUUUUAGUUUUCAUUCAGGUGAAUAAUUUCGACAAAGGAUUAAAUGGUAAGUCUUUGUGUGUCCAACAUGGUAGAGCAAGGAGAAAGAGAUGUCAUGUGAGUAUGUGACAGUAAGAUUUUGAAAUGAAAACUUCAGGAAUGAGCCAAAAGGAUUCAAGGAUAGUAGUAGAAUCAUAGUAGAAUAAAGGGAAAAAGAUAAACACUGGGCAGUUUGGUUCUAAAUGUAAUUUUGUAUAGGUAGACGAGGGAAAUUUAAUAGAUUCUGGGAUUCUCGAACUUAUAACGUGGCAAAUUUGCGUCUGCGAAUUACAAGGAAGAUUUUAUAGUAGGCAUCAUGGUUGUAUUGCUUGUUAUUGAGAAUUAGAAGUAAAGAGCCUUAAUCAAUUAGAGAAAUAGUUGUAUAAAGAUUAAAAUUAAAAUGGGAAUCAAGUUUGAUGGAGAAAACACAAAGCUGAACAACUGAGCGUAUUGACUAGAAAGAACUUAUGAUGUUUGUGGUUAAAAGCACGUGCAGUGUUUGCGGUUGCAUGGGUGCGAAAGCAUGCUGUUGUAAGCAAUACAUUUGUUUGGGUUCUGAACACAUGGGAACUGUCUUCUUUUCAAAUGUGCACUAGAGUACAUUUUUGGCCAAAUAUGUGUUUGGCCAGCACAAAUAGCCAAAGGUAGUGUUAUGUUCACUUAUUCAGAGCCAAAGGUAUCUCUGUAUAUCUACGAAGAUGAGGAUCUUUCUGGAAGUCAUUGCAAAAUUAUUGUGGCUGAUGACUUGUGACUGAAGAUUUCAGAACAUUGGAGCCUUCCAUCGGAGAAACUCACUUACAUAGCUUUGAUUAUGAUUUCAUGGGAUUUCGGCAUAGUAUAGCCAUAAAACCAUCGAGGUGUGGAUUAUAAGAUGUCUCAGUUAAAUUGCAAUGCGCUUGUUUGACAGUUAGCAAUGUGUGUGCUUAAUUUGUUGUGUAGGAAGUUUGACCUAUUGCCCAUAUAAUUUUUCAGGUUAAAACUUGGAGUCGAUUUUCAAUAUGUGCUGAACGCUAAAGGAUCAUCUCCAGCUGAAGUAAUAGGCAUUAACUACAAAACAGUCCUGAAACCUGCACUCUCUGCUCUUGCUGAAGAUACAAAGAAGUUAUCUGUUUCAAAGCUCGAAGAAUCUAUAGCUCGACAGCAACAGUCACGGGAGAAUACUAAAAUUUUAGAGGAGAAGAAGGUUCGACUUGCAGCUCUUCAAUCCAAAAUUGACGAGGUGGGUCACUUGUCUUUCAGUUCUAUAUCAGCUUGUACUCUCUGCUAUAUUUUUUAUUGCAGAAAAGUGGGAGCAUUGGUAAUCACAAAACUGCUGUUAUGGUUAUGGGUUUGAUUGAUAAGUCAAAAAUGUGCCGAGAGUGUCUUCCUCAAAAAUGUACUUACAUCCUACUGCUGCCUACAGAAUUAUUACAAAUAUAUAGGAAUACUCCAACUCAAUGAUAUAUGUCAGUCAAUGUUGAAUGCAUUUAGCUACCUUCAUAGAAAAGAUGGUUCUUUUGUAUCAUACAUGCUGGAAAUGGAUCAUGGAAAUUUUAGUUCUUAUAUUGUUAAAUAUAUUUUAAGUUGAAGUUAGUAUGAUUUGCAUCCCUUCCUUUACUUUUAGUUGUUUCCUCACUUUCUAAUUUGUUGGUUGCUAUUGCAUGGAAUUGUGACUACAUUAUUUAACUGAAUCUAUUGAUGUUUCACUAUAACUUCUCUUGUUUUCAAGUGUAGUUGGUUGUAGUAACUAGUAAUCUGGUGGUCAGUUGUAGAUUGCUUUUGAGUUUUGACCCAUUAAAUGGUGUUUUCAUCUUUCUGGUAUUAUUGUCCUGCUGUGUUAGGUUUCCUUCUUUUAAAGAUUGUUCCCUUUCCUGGACAGAGUUUGGGGUCUGUUUGAUGCUCUUAAUGGUAUUUAUGAAUAUUUUUAUCAUUUGCAUCCUGGAAACGAAUGGCUAUAAGUUGAAAAAUCAAAUUGUUUUGAUUGUGAAGAAUAGAGUUAACUAAAAUAUUCCUGCGAAGUAUUUGUAAAUUCCAUUAUUCCAUGAUAAAUUGGAUGAAGGUAGUGUUGACCAUAGUUAGUUAAUUUGGAUUCGGCAAAAAUUCGGUACUGAUAUAAUACGCAUAAAAUUCGUUUUCUAAUUUUUAAAUUCGUUGAAAAAUUCGGCUUAAAAAAUGGAUUCGGUAUAAAAUAUAAAAUAUAAGAUAUAAAAUAUAAAAUAAUUUAUAUUUAAAAAUAAAAUUAUAAGUUUUUUAUUCAUAUUUUCAAUAAUUCGCGAAUUAUUCGCGAAUUAUUCGCGAAUAAUUUUCUUUCUUUCGAAAAAAUUCGUAAACGGACCGUUUAAUUCGGAUUUUCAAUAAUUCGUGAAUAAUUCGCGAAUAAUUCGCGAAUUUACUAACUAGGGUGUUGACAACAAAGAUUAAUAUAUAUAUAUUUUUUGUUAGCUUAUUCCUAAACACUGUAUUUAUCCAUUUAUGUAGUGUCUUUUUUUUUUUGAAUGGUGUAUCACAUAGUUUUUUUGGAGAAAAAAAAUUGUUUGGAGAAAAAGAAAUCAUCUUCUUCAGAUGACAGAUUUACGUAUUACAUAGUUUUAGGUUGCAUGAGUAUCUAACUGCAAGCAGUUUUUGAGAUUGGACCAAAGUUAAAUUGAAGGUUAGGUUCAGUCAUUUAAUGGUUAUUUUUAGUGAGGAUCAGAAGACGUUAGUCAUCACAUUUAUAUGUGAUCAAUUGAUGGUUUUAAGCUUUAGACAGGACAUUUAGGUAGAUCACUAAACUUUUGCCUGCAAGUGGAGGAGCUCUUCUGCAUACUAAGGAGCACAUAUGACAAGCUAAUGAACAGCUCCAUUUAUAGGCGAAAAGGACAUAUAUGUAUUGACAAAUCGCAUGGUCUUACAAUAAAUUCUGCAAAUUUCACACUAGAACAUGCUUCCAGAAUGUGCAGGCUGUAAAUAUUUUGUUUGGAUACAAGGAUGGUAGUCAUAUUGUUUUUCUGUAAUUUUGAAGUCAUGGUGAUGGUGUGCUACUGCUCUUUAUAUAUAUAUAUAUAUAUAUAGAACAUAUUGCUUUGUUGCUGUAGCGUUUUUUCUUUUCUUUUUCUCUUUUGUUCUAUAUGACAGUUAACAGAACUUGCAUUUGGAAACUGAUCAUUUUUAUCUUCUUAUGAUGGAAUUGAAUAACUCAUGGUUAUCUUCAUCUGCUAUUGUUUAUCUGGCCUAUUUUUGCAUGCUUUCAUAUAAGAUUUAAUAGGUUAUAUCGUCAUUCAUGAGUUGGAAUAUCAGUAUACAUCUGGUCCAUAAGCAGCUAUAUGUUUCGUAACAUAUAAUGUUUGCUUUCAGAUAAGAAUUAAUAGGUUGUCUCUCCAUUCAUGACUUGGAAUAAAGCAUUGUACAUGUAACAUAUACUGUUUGCUUUCCUACAUGGUUGUUCCCUUUGUUUUUUAUUAUUGACUUUAUUGGUUCUUUGUAAAUUUGUUUCAGGGCAUUUGCGCUCCUGAGACAAAAGCUAUGUUUUACGUAGCAAACACCAUACAUGAGUUCUCUUUGUCCGUAUAUGCAUUUGCCCCCAAUCUAUAAUACUUAAUGACUCAUUUCUUACCAGAUUGAAUCUCAUCUGAGUUCACGAAAGAAUGAAAUGGAGGAUCAUGCAUCCAGAUGUGCAGCCGAAGCUGAAAGAAUGAAAGAGGAGAUAUCAAAAAAGGAAAAUCAGCUGAACAUUGUCGAGAAAGAAGCAGAAGUAUUUUUGAAGGUACUUUUCCUUAUUCCUUUGGUUCCUAAUCAUUUACCGGCAAUAACAUUGCAGGUAAGUUUUAGGCAUGACACAAUAGAAAACUAACAAAUGCAACAAUACAGAGCUCUGAACAAAAGCUACAAGAUGCUGUAAGGGAAAGCGACGAAGAGACGCAGCUGUGUGCUCGUGAGCUACUAGCAUUGAUCGAUGCUGUGUCAGAGUAUAAAGAAUUCAUGGAGUCUACACUUUCUGGAAUAAAGUCGGAUUUAUCUGAAGUCGCCAAUGAUGUUGCUUCUUUGUCAUCUAAAUUGGUUUCGUGUGGAUCUAACUUGGGCUCUUCUGGACUAAAAUCAGUGUGCUAGCCUUUUUCCAAAUCGAAAGUCUUAUUUCCUUGCCCUGCAAACUUAGGUAACCUGUCUACUGUUGUGUGAAGCGCCUUGUAUCAGUUUGUCUCUCGUACAAAGCUAUGAAAUUUAAAAUAUUACUCGUCUCUUAGCCAAUUAGUUAUGGCAUCACCUGAGGAGACGUAAUAUUAACCGUGAAAGUUCAUUGAACUUUGUUAAGUUUAUUAUGAAAACAAAGAUUAUAUUCAAUGUAUCUGCCUGUUAAUAGUAACUAUAUUAUAUUACUAUCAAUGCCCUUGCAUAUUAGCGGUGGGGUAGUGAAUUACAGAACCGUCAUCCUUAGUUGCUUUCUGUUUUUGGCAAUGCCCUUUUAAGUUAUUUACCUCUCAUUUUCGGAGAUGUGGUGAAAUGUAGUAACCUCAUUGCAUUUUUCCAUGUUGUUCUAAUAAUGUUUGUACAGAUUGAGUUACUGAAGUGAGUUAAAAAAUUGGUUAACCAAAAUAAUUGCGUGUUUCGUUCGCACUAUCUUUUCAAGAUUCUUAGUAAUCUAAUAGAAAUAAAAAAAAUAUGACGGUAUUUAGUUUAACGGACAAAGUAAUAUAAUUGGUAAUACUAGAUUUACUUGGGAAUGAGAUGCAUCCUAAAGUAUUAAUCUCAUUCCUUUGAGGGAGGUUGUUUAUCCUUAUAUUAAUAGAUUGGAUUAAUUAUAAUAUGUUUAAUAUUUUUCUUUCUCUCUACCCUCCGGAUAGUUAGUAUUAUUUUCUUUACACUCUAAUCUCGUAUUUUUUUCUAAAUUUUAACUCUUUUUCUCUUUCUAAAUUAAGCUAUUUGUCCCCCUCUUUUUCUAAAAUUUUAAUCCUCUCAUUCUCUCUAACCUCGACUCUGUUUCUCUUUCUAUUUCUUUAAUUAUGCUCUUUCUUUCUAACCUAUAUUCUCUCUCUUUUUUUUUCUAAAAAAAUGUUAAAAUUUUUUAUAAUAUUAUUUAAAAUUAAUUAAAUAAAUAAAUUAAUUAACUGUAUAUUUUUUGUAAUUUUUAAUAACAUGAUUAAAUAAUAUAACCGUACGAACCAAACACCGAAAUAUUAUAUUCUUAGUAAUAGGAUGAACAAGAAUAAAAUUCUCGGAUAUCUUUUUACUCCUAGUAAUUUUUUAUAGUGCGAACCAAACGAGCCCUUAAUGUUAUUUACAUUAAACGUGUUUUACUAAAACAAUAUAUAUACAAAAAUGUAGAAAAUAAAGUGCUGAUUAAAAGUAUAUGAAACAAUUGAAAUAUUUUGGUAUAGUACAGGGACUAUUCUAUAUUAAAGCUGUCAAGUCAAGGCAUAUUGAUCAGCUUAUUAAAUAGGGUAAACUUCACAUACGACUAUUGUGAUUUUGUAUUUUUUCAUUUUAAUAUCCUAUAAUUUAAAGUGUAUCACUUUACUAUUCUUUGGUUUCGUUUUUUUUAUUUUCUUUAACACAUUUGUUAACUUUUCGUUAAAUUAUGUAUAAAAAAAUUUAGAUACCCUACUUAUGAUUUAUUAAAUAUUCACUUUAGUACCUUAUGUUUUACUGAACUUUUUACUUUAGUAUUAUAUGGUUUAUAUUUUAUAAUUGAUAUAACGAAAAAAUUAACGAAGGUGAUAAUAAAAAAGAGAAUAAUGAAAACAAAAGAUACUAAAAUGAUACAUUUUAAAAUAUAGGGUACUAAAGUGGAAAGUGAUUUGAAGUUUUCUCUAUUAAAUAUGUGCAUAAAUCUUCUAUGCAUGAACUCAUCACAGCCGUCAGAUCGAGAGUAUCUUUAACCUCGGAAUCUGUUAACGGCCGAUGUAACCCUCCGCAUAAGAUCGCAUCCUAUGCGGACCGGUAGCCCUGUACGUCGCCCUUCGUGCUCCGAGAAACGCGCCGUUCCCCUCGCACCACCCAAUCACACUGAUCAUCAUGAACCCAUGAUUGUGAUCCUCCCCCACGCGGGGCCCACCGCCCAUGAAUUAAUGCAGGAUCGACACGUGGCAAGAAGUCAGGCAUCUGGCGCCCUCCACGUGGGUCUGUCGUCCCCUGCGCGCGUCCUUGCCACGUGGCGCUCCGCGGGGCCCACCGGUUGGGGGUCCGUACGACGUGGCAUUUAAUUCGGGCACGUGGGCGUGCCCCUGCGGGUGUAAGAUGGGGACCGCAUCUGGGCCGUCGAUCAGGGAUUCGCGACUUCCGAGGCGCGUGAUGGGUGGUUGACUCGGGCCCAGGGAAACUUCGAAGCGUCUACGUCGGAGAUUUAAUGCGCCUCGUUUUCUCGUUAUGCGGGACCGUCCCAUUUCGCCGAGCCGCGGAUAUCUCCGGGGAACGAUCGGCACCGUUGGUAUCUGGAAUUGGACGGAUGAGAUCGAACGUUCGCAUAGGGAAGGAGUGUUCCUCCACGCGCGCGUCCGCACCCUGAAAUGGUGCGGGGACGGCAACGCUAUAGUGAGGCUGGGAACUGGGCCCCACAUGUCAGGAACACGGCCAUUAUGUAAUAGGAAAUGGACUUUUUAAUAGAGAGGCCUUAAAAGUGAUCUAAAAAGAAUAGAUAUAUAGAAUUAGGCUGGAAUACUAUUAAUAGUAAAACGCUUUUUUUGCUAUCAAAUUUUUAACCCUUGGAUGAAAAAUUGUAAGGUCAGGAUGAUAUUAGUCGGUUAGAGUUGAGUGGUCCCCCUAGGGUUGAGUGGUCCCCACUGGGUUAUAGUAUUUAAACCAAUGGUUAGAAAUAAUGCAAAGAGUUGAUCCAAAGGCUAAAAAACUGGUAGCAACAAUGGAAUUUUGCUACUAAUAGUAGCCCAGUCCAACUCUAGAUAUAUAUAUAUAUAUAUNAUAUAUAUAUAUAUAUAUAAAGUUGAGCUUCUGUAUUUUUAAAAGCACAUGAAUAUUUAUUUUUAUGGCUUUUUAAUCGUCAGAUUGUUUCAAGAUUUGCACAGCAUUAGUACUGCACGAAUCUUGAAGCUAUCUGAUGGCUAAAAAACACAAGCACGUUGAGCAAAUGAUUGCAGUAAAUUUAAUAGAUCUAAUAUUUGCGCGAUAAAAUUAUCUCUGCAUAAAUGUUAAUAAGACGACUAAAAAGCAUAAUAAUAUUUUUAUCAAUUUGGUUCAUGCAAGAAAUUUACUCACAAACAAAAUAAAAGAAAUGUUCGAUACAUGACCCUAAAUAUAUAAGCAAGGUCCAAAAAAAAAAAAAAAAAAAAAAAAAUCUAAGGUCCGAUUGAAGAUCACUCUGCACUAACAAUAGGAGGAUAUAGGCUUUUUUAUCAAACUUUUUUAUAUUUUGUUUCUAUACCAUUGGUAAAAACCAAAUCAACCUUUUCAAGCCUAAACAUAUAAAACCAAUUGAUUCCACUUGACUUAUAUUCGCUCGGGCGAAUUCAGAGUGAAUUCAACAUAAAAACAGAUGAUUUAGUCUCGUUGUAGUGCGCAAUUUAGUGGUUUAACUCAGGUACGUACUUAUCUAAAACACCAUUGUUGAGUGAAUAUUUUUAUUCGAGGAGCGCUUCAUAGAGAGAUGAUCUGAUCCUGUUCAUCAAAUAUUUAUUAUAGUAAAGUAAUAUAUUAUAGUAAUGAAUAGUUAAUUAGACGUGUUGUUUCAGAAAUCAUAUUACUCGUGUGUAUGGCACGUGCGGAGGGGAAAAAGAAAUCCUAAUUAUAAGGUAAUGAUGAGAUCAGAAUUGGAGAUUGGCACGUGUGUCGGGUUAUGGGGAAAGAGCGUGUGCUAAGAUGUUACAGCUGUAGAGGUUGACCGCAACAUCUGGUAAUUGAGAGCAUAAUUUUAUUUCACUACACAAACUUUAAAGUACAAAAUAUAAAUAAAAAAAAAGUUAAUUUCAUACGGAUCUCUCCAAACACAAUAAAUUACAAAUAUAUUCCUAUAAAAUUUAAUUUUCAUAUAUUAUUUCUAUAAAAAUUUUAAUAUUUUCAAAUAUGUUAAUCUGAUUUGUUACCGUUAAAGCACUAUUUAUUUUAUAAGUGAAAUAAUUUUUUUACCAUCACAAAUAUAUCCCUCCAAAACUUUCAACUGUUAAUUAAAGAGGGGUAAAAAGAUUAACUCACCUUAUUAGCUAACUAGGGUUAAAUAUUUUACCCAUGAUUAACUAAUUUUUUCUAACGGAUCUUAACAUUAGAAAUAUAUUUAAAAAUAUCAGAACUUUUAAAAGGACAACAUGCGAAGGUUAAAUUUUAUAAAAAGAUAUUUACAGCUCACUAUGUUUGAAAGAAUCUGUAUGAAAUUAAUCCAAAAAAACCCCUCCUUCCCUCUUAUAUGAAAUUAACCCAAAAAAAAAACUCUCAUAACCUCUUAUAGCCAUAUAGGCCUUAAAAAGUAUUAAAAAAAAAACUAAACUAAAUAUCCAUUUGAAAGUUAAAGAGAAAGGGCACGUGUCCUGUUGAAAAGCCUCUCAUUUUCAACUUUCAAAAAAUAAGGAGAAAAUGAAGGGAGAAAGGAAAUAUUUUGUUACAACUUGUUAUAUACAUUAGUACGAUAGCUUUUGUUUCUUUUUGUCUAAUAUAAUUAUUAUUCUAUUCGGAAACAGAAUUUUUAUUUUUAUAAAUUAUUCCAUUAAAAUACUUUACGCUAUAAGUGUUUGGUUCCUUAAACAUGUGUGAAAAAUUAAUUAUUCUUCCAGGAAAAAAAAAUUCAUUAAAAAAAAAAACUCUUUUCCACUGUUUUUGUUUUUUUGGAUAAAAAAUUAAGAAAACGAAAACACUAAUUUUUCAUAAAAUUAGAAAAAUAUUUUUUCCAAAAAAAAUUAUUUUUUAAAAUUUAAACAGGCAAAAUAACUGUUUCAACCAGAAAACUAUUUUUGACAUAUUUUUCAGAAAUCAAACACUCGAUAAAUAAAGUAGUGUAAAAAAUAGGUUAAAAUGUGCAUACGCCUCAUAAACUUUCACCCAUUUUGAAAUUGACCCCUAAACUUUUUCUUAUUUGAUUUACACUCCCUGAUAUAAGCAUCUUCUCUACUUUCUAAUUGUUUGAUUUAGCUCUUUUCAUUAGCAAUUUUGGACAUUUCGUUAAAACAAAAUAAGCGACAAGGAGAAAUCCAUGUGAUCAAGAAUUGUUUUUAUAAAUAAAGAGGUUAUGUGUGUCUCUUAUGUGCAUUUGAUCCCAACAAGUUCCUCUAAAUUAUUUAUAAAAGGAGCUAAAUUAAACGAUCAAUAAGUAGAAGGAGUGUAAAUCAAAUAAAAAAGGUUAAGAGGAUCAAUUUCAAAACUGAGUUAAAGUUCAGCAAGUGUCUAUACAUCUUCACCAAAAAGAUAUGGAGUAAAACUUCAGCGGGAGCUCCCCAACGACUCCCACCGUCAUGUGUUAGUUCUUUUAAUACUAAAAUUCAAAAAAAAAAAAGUUGAAGUUUUAAUUUCUAAAGAAAAGAAUUAUAGCCGUUGGAUAGAGAUAAAAGUGGCACCCGAUGAAGGAUUGAGGCUCAUUAACGAGACUUCGUAUGAUGUAUAGUACAUUACCAAAUAGGCAAGGUUCCAAUAUGGAUUGUUAAUCAAUAUUUUUUUCAUAGUGCUUGACUGAAUUGGAGAUGUUUGGGCACGAAAUGGACGCGAAAACGAACUCAGAUUUAACGCGGGGCAUGACACUUUGUUCGAGAGCUCUCCACUGAAAGUUAUUUUCAAAAAUAUAAGUGGGAAUUAAUAACCUUUCUCCGGAGGAAAAAAAACAGAAAGAUGCAAUAAAUGGGUUUUUGGGCAGUUCGUGCCAAAUGGGCAUGCGUUCAUAGAUCGCAAUUACUUAGCCCUGUCCCCCCACCCCCACCCCCACCCCCACCCUCCUCUCUUNGAAAAUGUGUCUCUCUCUCUCUCUCUCUCUCUAGAUCUCUCUCUCUCUCUCUCUACCCCACCCCCUUACUCUUCCCCCUCCUCUCUAAUUGCUUUCUCUCUCUCUCUCUAGAUACAUUGCUAUGUGGAAGGAAAUUAAGGAUACGGGUUGUGGGGAAUGUUGGCUGGCUCGAGGAGCAAUUUUAGCUCUCUCCCGUCUGCACUGCUUCUGGAGAAGCGAAAAGCGCUUUUUCGGACCAGGCUUCAUUCCUCUCAAACCUCUCUUUCCUCUUCGCGAUGACGCUCGGAAAACUAAUUUGUUGAUAUUCUGUUAAGCGGACUGUUGUCUGGCUCAAGAUUAACUUCCCAUGAGCUCUUUCCUUUUUUUUAUUUUUAUUUUUUUAAUUCUUUCGUUCGUUUUGCGGUUUUGAGUUUUUUUUCUUUUUGGUAUUUUAUAUGUUAGUUAUGAGGCUCGCGAGGUCAUGAUCUCGUACAAGGCUUCGAUCCCUUACACCAGCAUUUGCUUUCACGGCCUUCGGAAAUAAUGGUGCAAAUGAUAAACAAUGGUAAGUUUUUCUUUUUCUUUUUUUCCGGAUUUUUUUUUUCUUUUCUUGUAGCUUAUAUAGUGGGGAGAUGCUAAGUAUCUACGCUUUGCAUCUCGACGGGUUCGAACUUAUUCUGCUCUUAUUAACUAAAUUUCUCGCUUUGCUAAAAAAAACACACAAGAAUCAAAUUACGCAUGACGCUUAAUCUUUUUCCGUUCAUGUACUUGGCAAACAUUUCAUUUCCUAUACCAAUCUAUUAGGCCUUUAAUUCUUUCUCUCAUGUGAUCUACACUGUUACCGACCUUACCUAGCAGUACAGUUUGCUAAUUAAGGCUUAAUGGUUGGUACCUGAUGUCGAAAAUUUUAACUCUAAUUGUUUCAUCUUUCUAACCGAGUACUUCAUUUCUAAAAAAGAAAUCCACUUUGGUGACUUACCACUCGAAUACUGAUGGUUUCGCUAAUUAAGCUUGAAUUUAGCGUUACGGCCUUUUCACAAAACAACGAGAAAAAGUUACCCUAACCUUAAUGGCUUCUAAAAUUGGUCACCUUUUCUCCCCAUUGUAUCCCAACAUGUGUUUACCCUUUCCUACGCCUAACACUUGAUUAUGUAAUCAUUUGCGUGAGCCCAUGAUUAUACACACACACACACAUAUAUAAAUAUAUAUAUAUAAAUAAUAACUUGCUAUGUUUAAUUCCUGGGGACGUACGCGUGUGUAGCAAAAGAAAGGGAAAACGUAGAUGUGUAGGAAUAAAUAAGGCUUUGGAUAUGUAUAUAUCCCUAUACUAUACUUUGGGGAGGAGAAAAAGUGGGUGCAUGGGCUCUAAUUAAUGAAUGCGCCUCUGACGCAGCAGCGUUCAUGUGUUGUGGGAGGCGAAGUGAAUGAAGAGAUGAAGAUGCCAUAGAUAGAUUUUAACGAGAAAGGGAGCGCGUUUCUCGCCUCCCAGGAUUUUUAGUCACCUCGAUUGCUUCAUCUCCUUGUCCACUAGUUCAUUAAGUUCCAUGUAUUCACAUAUAAUUUUUUCAAAAAAAAAAAAAGUUGUGACACUGUGUGUGCGUUAUUGUAGAGAGAGAGAGAGAGAGAGAGAGAGAGAGAGAGGUGGUAAAUAUGUGGACGUGGAGAGAGAAAGCUAGGUCCACGCAUUGAGAAUUAUUGCAUGCACCAGGUCUACACACAGGUGCCUGCAAAUUAAGCUCAAAUAUAUUUCUGGUUGCGGGUCCUGCAAAAUUGAUCUUUCUAGAUAAUUUAUAUCACCUCACAUUAUAAUUUCAAGUGUCUUUAAUAAAAUCCAUCGUGCGUAGUGCUAAAUGUAUUUUUGACCUUUUUUGGACAAUGAGUUAAAAAUCAGGGCGAACUGACCGGUUCGAUUGGUCCGACCGUAACCCAGUUUAUGAAGCGGUUCGGCUUGAAUUAACCUAUGAACGGGAUAAGUACUCAAAAAAUUGUUUUGAAAUGUUCGAACCGAUGGUUCAACCAUCGAAAUGGAGAAUCGGUCCGAUUGUAAUCAAACUGGCUGAGUUUUUUUUAUCAAGUCAUAUUAAAAUCUAUAUUCUAUUAGCACAUAUUAGUCUUACAAAAGAGUAAAACUUGAAAAUAAUAUAUGUAUAUGUUGCUAUAUAAUAAUUAUAUGUCAUGCUGAUGCCGGUUGAACCGAUGACUCUUGACCCAAUAAUUUUACUUACCUGUAAAUUAUUAAAUAUAAUAUAGAGUAUUUAUAAAAUGCAUAUAUAUUAGAAGUCCCAAGUUAUAUAUAUACAUAAUUAGGCUACUAUAGUACCGGAGCUCCGUUACUAUAGUCUUGUUUUCGAUCUUAAGGUGUUCAAAUUAAGGAUCCACACCAUUAAAUAUGAUUUAAGAUAUAUGAAGUUCUUAGGAAUAAAAUUUUAGUUUUUUUCGAUAUCGUUUACUUAGUAAAUAAAUUAUGUCAAAAUGGACGAUGAAAAUUGAAUAUUCUUUAAAAUUUGAGCAUAGGACUUUUAAAUUCAAGAUCAAGAAUGUUAACCUUAAUCUAGAUAGUUUAAAAUAUUUUCUAUCAAAAUUUGAAGAAAUUGAGAUUCUUCUAUACCGUUAAACUCCAAACUCACCAUAGUAGCCAUUGAAAAUUGACAAUUUUGAAAUGGUUUGAUCAUAAAGCAAAUUAUGUCGAAAAAAUAUAAAAUUUUAUUUCUAAAAACUUUAAAUACCCUAAAUCAGUUUUAAUGGUAUGGAUCGUUGAUUUGAACACCCUAAGAUCGAAAAAGAGAAUAUAGUACCGAAGCCCCGGUACUAUAGAUAUAGUAUAGGAGACUGGCUCUAUAUAUAUAUAUAUAUAUAUAUAUAUAUAUAUAUAUAUAUAUAUAUAUAUAUAUAGCGGCUAGGAUGCUUAUGAAAGCACGGAAGGCUCCGUGCUUCCACUUUGUUUUCGAUGUUCGGACUUUCGAAUCGACGAUCGACACCGUUAAACUUGAUCUAGAGUAUUUGAAGUAUCUAGAAAAUAAAUUUUGCAAUUUUUCGAUAUCAUUUGCCUAGUGAUCGAAGUGGCUCAAAAUCAANAUAGAUCUUAUUUUAUAUAGUAUAAAGAAUUUUCUAUCAAAAUUUCACGUGAUUUGGAUAUUUCUACACCGUUAAACUUGCAACCGGCUCACCACGGUCAUUAAAAUUAUUGAUUUUGAGCCCCUUCAAUCACUAGGCAAAUGAUAUCGAAAAAUCGUAAAAUUUAUUUUCUAGGUACUUCAAAUACUCUAGAUCAACUCUAACGGAGCCGAUCGUCGAUUCGAAAGUCCGAACAUCGAAAAUACCUUGGAAGCACGAAGGCCUCCGUGCUUGCAUAAGCAUACGAGACAAACUCUCUCUCUCUCUCUCUCUCUCUCUCUCUCUCUCUCUUUAUAUAUAUAUAUAUAUAUAUAUAUAUAUAUAUAUAUAUAUAUAUAUAUCAUGCUAUCCGUUCCGUUCAUUUUUUUAGAAAUGAACUUUAGCUAGAUAUGUGAAGCAAUUAGGUUUCAAAUUUGGAAUUUCGAAUAUCAAUUAUUAAACUUUUUGUCACUUGUGUUAGGAAAACGAUCGGUUAUGUGUAUAAUAUUUUAUUUACCAAAAUAGUAGCUUUUAAACUAUCUCUCACUGCAAGAUGUUUCUCUGUCAAGAUUCCAAAAUUUAAGUUCCACAUACAUAUCACGUACAAGUUGUACAUUUAGAGAUAUCAUAUUCAGCAAUUUAGAUUUAGAUUUUAAUUCUCCUAAACUUGAACUUUAGAGAUUCCCGGUGCAUGCAAUAAUUAAUUUCUAGGUAGGCAGGGACAUGAAACAGUGGGAAGCAUUAAAGAGGGGUUUUAAUAAGGUGAAUGCCAUAUGGAAUCUCUCUUCUUUUUCUUCUUUUUUUGUUUUUUUUUUUCCCUCUCAUUACUAUUUGAAUGGCUCAUGUGGCAGAGGUGGCAUCUUAGGAGGCUCAGGUUACCUGGUGAAUCGCAUCAUGCCCUUCUUUUACAUAUUUCUUUUCGAGCAAUGUUAUGACCAAUACUCUUUUUUUUUUUUGACUAUUUUUAUUCUUUUUUAGUAUUAAUUUUUUUUAAAAAAAUUGUUAUAUUUUCAAUGAGUGAGCGUAAAAUUUAUAUCCUAUUUUUUGAAUGUACAAGUCAUAUUAAUUCUUUUUUAUUUUUUUAAUAUAUAUUUCAAACUUAGAAACUUCAUUCCUAAAUUAAAUAAAACUAUAGAGAGAGAGAGAGAGAGAGAGAGAGAGCACAUAGUUUCUAGUGAUCAUUCAAAUCAUACAAGCCCACAUGUUUCAAGGAGCCAAAAUUUAAUACUACAUGUGCAUAGGUACUGGGUUGUAUGAGCUACCUAUGCUGCGUGUCUUGUACUUGUGCAUUGAGAUCGAUUCAAUCUACACCAGACCACUUUUGAGACAUCACAAUUACUACUAUACAUAGGCAGUAGGCGUUUUUACAUGAUGCAAUAUAUUUCAUUCCUCUUGCUAAUAAGUGUUAGCAUUUUUCAUAAAUAAACUCAACUAAAAACAUAAACUACUUAAAUAAUUAAAUUUCAAACUUAAAAUUUUAAAUAUUAAUCAUCAAACUUUUAGCCAGUUACACUUCAUUCUCAAUAAUAAAGAGAUGGAUCUAAAUAAGUUGAGGAGAGACAAUAAAUGAGAUGG